GCCCAAUGCCUACAGGGAAGGGCAAGGUCCGCUAUGCAAUCGUUGCAGUUGAUUACUUCACAAAGUGGGUUGAAGUAGAACCUUUGGCAACUAUUACUGAGGCAAAAAAUAGAAGACUUCGUAUGAAGGAACAUCCUUUGCAGAAUCGACAUUCCUAAUGCGAUAGUCACUGACAACGGGCGGUAAUUGGACAACAAUAAGUUCAGGAUGUUCUGCUCUAAGUUCAACAUCAACUUAUGUUUUGCCUCCCCAGCUCAUCCCCAGUCUAAUGGAUAAGUUGAAGCCAUCAACAAAAUAAUGAAGCGAACUUUGAAAACUAGCUUGGACAAGGCUAAAGGUUGUUGGCCAGAAUUUAUACCCCAAGUUCUUUGGUCAUACCACACUUCGUAUCGGACGUCAACAAGAGAAACCCCAUUCUCACUUGCCUUUAGUACAGAGGCAGUUGUCCUAGUGGAACUUGAGCAAGCAAUGUUUCGAGUCAAGAACUACAUGCAAAGCAAAAAUGACAAACAACUUACCCUUAACUUAAAUCUAGUCGAGGAACACAGAAACCAGGCUCACUUGAGGAAUGUCGCCUAUAAGUAGCGUAUCUCCAUUUACUAUGACUCAAGGGUCAAACCUCGUUCUUUCAAAGUGGGGGACUGGGUAUUGAAGAAAAGAUUACUCUGCGACAGAGUCCCGAGUGAAGGAACACUUAGUCCAAACUGGGAUGGACCGUUUGAAGUUGUUGGCAUCGGUCGCCAUGGCUCCUACAAGUUUAUAAGCUCCAAUGGCAAGACCCUUGGCCAUCCAUGUAACGCUGAUCACUUGAAGUACUAUUACAAGUAAACUCACAUUGUACAAGUGUUAAGCUUCAGCCGUUCGACAUCCUAUGUAACGAAGACCAUUUGGCAUGAAUUCAAUAAAGAGGUGAUUUAGACAACUCAAUCCUAAUCCUCUUACAUUCCUAGCAAUGAAACACUCGGGUUCAAAGCUUCAACAUGAAUGCUCCCAACAGGAAAUAAAGUUUAAGUAUAUGUCAACAAGACUAUACAAAUACGAACAACUUCACAGUGUAUUCGUUCAAUCUGACCCAAGUUAUGGCUUAUAUCAAACAAAGGAUUUGCUCAAAUAUAGCCAGGCAUUCAUCAAUGAUGGUGCAAAUACUUGGUAAUUAACAUCAAACUAUACGGCGUAAAGUUGUAAGCAUCCAUAAAUAAAAAGCUCUCAGGCUUACAACAUGGCACAUGCCAUACAAAUAACAAACUAGUACAUCCAGAGUACAUGGCACAUGCAUCAAAAACAACAAACUAGUACAUCUAGAGUACAUGGCACAUGCCACACAAACAACAAACUCAUACAUCCAGAGUACAUAUAGAAAAAGAGGGCACUACGAGUCAUCCUCAUCUGAGGCCGAACCCUUGACAAUAUCACUUUACGUUUCAACCCCAUUGCCAUCACCACCUUCCUCAGCAUCCCCAGGACCAUCCUCACUCUCCUGAGACUGCUCACUGAUACUAGCCUCAUUAUCAAAGUCAUCAUCACUACUAGGAUCAACUGCGAUGACGAAAGCUUCACCUUUUUGUCGGUACUCAUCCAUCUCAUCACGGUACUUUCGGAUAAUUCUUCCAUUGUCGUAACGCUCAAUGACGGCCAUCCAUUUCCUUUUCUCAAAAUUAGCCGCCCGGAUGCAGUGAGGUCUAAAGGCAUCGUGAAAGGCCAGGGAACCUAAAAACUCAUGCACAACAGCAUCCCUCUCAGUUGGGAUACUCCUCUUCAGCCCAAAAACCUCAACCAAGGCACUAUCCAACUCCCCUUUAACCUUGGAAACCUCAAGGAUGGUUGUCUCCAACUGUUCCUUAGUCGUUUCCAAUUGUUUCUUGAGCCUCACGUUCUCACCAUUCCGCCUUUUCAAACUCUCAAAGUUUUCAUCCUUAAGGCGGAUGGCAUCAGCCAAAGCUUUGCUCAUUUUUUUGGUGUCAUUCACAAGCUGCUUAUUCUCUUUAAACUUUACCUUGUACCGCUCGACCUCUCGUAAUCUGUCAUUGUACUCGGUCAUGACCUACAUGACAAGAUGAUUGUCACUACCAAGAAAAAGAGGGGAGAAAGCAAAGAAAUGACAGAGUAACACUUACAUAAGAAGAUAGCCUUAUCAUCCGGUCACGAUCUGAUUCGUUCUCAUCUAGCGGCUCACCAAGCUCAUUAACAGUGGAUCGACGUCCUGCCAGGCAAUUAUUGACAUACCUAAAACUACUUGGCUGUAUGGCAACUUUCAAGUUCUUCCAAUAAAUGUUGCCAACCUCUUCCUUGUACUUUCUUUUAUGGCUAGAGCUAGGGCCACCUUCUUGGUCAGUAGACUCCAUGGUUGGAGAAAAUAUGGGAUUGAUGGUAAAAAGAGGAGGCAACAAUCGUCUUUCCUCCUAUACAACUAUGGCAGCAGCACACCCGAUGGCCUCAGCUUCAGCCUUUCUUGAGGCAGCAAUCUUGAGGACCUUCUCUUGUGACUUAGGUUUAGGGGUUGGCCUCACCCGAUGCUUACGAGCUCUCUUGUGAAACAAAAUGUCGUCUACGGGAACUAACAUGGGUGCUUUCUCUUUAUUGGCACUAGUCUCCCCUUUCUUGCCCACUUUCUCCACUGAACAAGAAAAAUUAAAGUAAGGAAUGCAACUUUGUAAAAGAAAGAGGGGACGAAAUGAAAGACACAACUUACUUGCUCGUCUCUGGCACUCCGACACUAGGGGUUGGAAACUAUACUUUCGAAAUAAGGGUCGUAGCUUGCCCAAAUGUCUAUCCUCUUUAGGCACCCUCAACAUCUUCUCUACGUCAGCUAGCUUCCGUCCGGACAGCUUGAUGGUUUCUCGCGUCACUGCACGGAGAAAAAUGUUAGAAGCAAGAGAAAAUCACAACAAAUAGCAAAUAAUGCAAACAAGGGAUACAUUACAACCUACAGUCUGGAAGUGAGUAGGAACACGUCGCUCAGGCGUUACACCUUUAGCAUACUCCCAAUCAUUUUAAAGAAAGCACCAACAGUUUUUCCAAGUGCAAUACACAUUUUUCUUACCAAAGACAAUACGCUCUCUCUCACUCCAACAUGCACACUCGGUAUACCUAGUGCAUGCUUUCACCGGGCGCAUCUUAUAGCAGUAGCGCCACUGAUGAAAGGAAGGCUCACCUAACCCACAUUCCAUCCAAAUAAUAUAAAACCCGAUCAAGGUAUCCCAAAAACCAGGGUAGAGUUGGCUAGACGCAUAUCCAAUGAAAGACAACAUCUGUUGCAACCACGGGUGCAAAGGCAGCUUCACCCCUAAAAUCAAUAAUAUCUGGGUAUAGAACAUAACAUGACCUUUGGGCGGUUUAUAGGACAAUUCUUCAUGAUGCACCAAACGCAUUCCUACACUACGGGGGAUACAACAUGACUGCCUUAGGGCCUCAAGCUGUUUUUCGCUAUCUAACAAGUUUUGCACUAAAUGGUCUGCUGUGAACUCAAAGCGAAAUAUGGGUAUGGCGUCACAAACAACCCCCUCACCCAAUCUCGAAUUUUUUUUGUACAAGACUUCAACAAAGGCCCUGAAGACUCCAACAUUGCAAGCUCAAACCUAGAGUUAGAGUUAGGGGAGCCCUCAUCACUAGGACUUCCAAACUCUGAUAUCUACAACAAACAAAAACAAACUUUAUCACUGCAUGAAAGAUCAAAACAUAAGGAAGUUCCUAGGGCAUGAAAAAAAACUCAAUCAGUUCAUUAUGUUCUCAACCAAAUACAUGAACACUCAAACAAUUCAACAAGAAUGAAAGUAUGCGAUCUAGUAGAGAAGACCACCAACCUGAAGAUAGUGCAAAGUAAUGCCGGAAUCUCUGGAAUCUCUCACAACUAUAAAAGCACUCUGUCUCCAAAAAUCACUACAAAAUGAGCAAAUGAAGACAAUGAAAAGAGUGUAAACUUAUCAUUCUUAUAGGGUUCAACAUGGUCAAAUAAAUUCAAAAUUCAAAAUUCAAACCAUGAGAAAACCCCACAUGGAAAGUCUUCAAACUUCCACACAAUCUAGGGAGUUUUCAAAUUUCAAACUUGCAGCACCCCCUCCCCCUCUCAAGAAAAAUGGGGGGGGGGAGGGGGUGGGAGGAGGUGAACACAUUAGAUUCAUCAAAGGAGUUCAACCAUAAUUCUCAAAAGCUUCACACACUCUUGAUCAAGACAGUGUGAAGCAAAACCAAUUUAUGGUGCCAACAAGAGCUUUAUCAAUAGAGGGCAAUCACAAUUCUCAAAAGCUUCACACACUUUUGAUCAAGACAGUGUGAACCAAAACCAAUUUAUGGUGCCAACAAGAGCUUCAUCAAAAGAGUUCAACCACAAUUCUUAAAAGCUUCACAAACUCUUGAUCAAGACAGUGUGAGGCAAAAAACCAAUUUAUGGUACCAACAAGAGCUUCAUCAAUGGAGGGCAACCACAAUUCUCAAAAGCUUCACACACUCUUGAUCAAGACAGUGUGAAGCAAAGUCAAUUUAUGAUGCCAACAAAAACUUCAUCAAUUGAGGGCAACUACAAUUCUCAAAAGCUUCACACACUCUUGAUCAAGACAGUGUGAAGCAAACCAAUUUAUGGUGCCAACAAGAGCUUCAUCAAAGGAGUUCAACCAUAAUUCUCAAAAGUUUCACACACUCUUGAUCAAGAUAAGCAAAACCAAUUUAUGGUGCCAACAAAAGCUUCAUCAAUGAAGGGCAACUACAACUCGUAGAAAGCUUCACACACUCUUGAUCAAGAUUGUUCGAAGCAAUUUCAAUUUAUAUGGUUCAUCCAAACCUUCGACUACUACAAGGUGUGGCUUGCAUCACAAUCUCUUACUCAAUUUUGUGGAAGUAAAAUUUGUAUAUGUUGUCUCUCCCACAUUUUCAAAUUUCUAAUUUCCCAAAAAAAAAAAGGAAAUUGGGAAAUUCAACAAAGCUUCAUCAAUGGAGGACAACUACAAAUUCUCAAAAGCUUCACACUAUCUUGAUCAAGAUAGUGUGAAGCAAAAUCAAUUCAUGGUACCCAACAAAGCUUCACCACAAAAGCUUCACCAACAAAAACUUCAUCAAUGGAGGACAACUACAAAUUCUCAAAAGUUUCACACUAUUUUGAUCAAGAUAGUGUGAAAAUCAAUUCAUGGUACCCAACAAAAGCUUCAAAUCCGAAGCUUCACCUACAAAGCUUCAACUCCAAAGCUUCGCCUACAAAAGCUUAAACACAAAAGCUUCACCCACAAAACUUCAACUCCAAAGCUUCACCUACAAAGCUUCAACACAAAAGCUUCACCCACAAUAGCUUCACCUACAAAAGCUUUACCCACAAAAGCUUCACCCACCACCAAAGCUUAAUAUAAAAUAUAUAUAUAUAUAUAUAUAUAUAUAUAUAUAAAUUUUCAGAAAUUUAAAAAUUCAAAAAUUCAAAAAUUCAAAAAUUCAAAAAUUCAAAAAUUCAAAAAAUCGAAAGAAAAAAAAAAUUGCCUAGGCCUCAUCUUCUUUGGGCCUAACAACUUUCAUAACAAAUAUAUAUGAAGGAGGAGUUUUGGGCUACCAUGUAAAAAGGAAAUGCCUCAUUCGUCAACUCCCUCGACCGGAGACUUGGGGGACUCCUACCAUAUGUUACUGCACCUUGAUACUCGGAAGUCUCACGACCACUUAGUGACUUGGAUUUUUCAAGUCUCCAAUCGAGAAGUUUUCCUCACUCGGGAAAUUAAGGGAGCACUACCUCAACAUACAUGCUUCACUCACAAAGCUUCAACAUAUAAGUUUCAACAAAAGAAAAAAAUUCAAAGAACUUAGUGAAGAAGACUUUGGUGUAUUUAACACAAUACGUUGAAAUGAAGCAAAACUUAUUUAUUAACAUCUCCGAUAAGUUACAAAUAUGUACAUAUACAUGAGUCAAAAUAAACAAACAAGAGAGAACUUUCAUAAAGGUUGCUCAUGAAAAGUCUCAGCAGUCGGCAGAGCCCUAGAAAGAUAAGGCAUCAGAGGGUGAUCAUUCAGAGCCUUAGUACUGGACAGAACCCCAGAAUGAGGAGGCAUCGGAGGUUGAUCAUUUGGAGCUUCAUUACGCGGUACAACCCUAGAAGAUGAAGGCAAUAAAUGCCUUUGGAACAAACCCACAAACCUCUGAUGAUCAAAUAAAAUCUGACCAUUAGAUUCAUGCAUCUGGUCAAACUUACUUUUCAUGUUUGUAGCAUAGUCAUGUGCGAGCAUGUGCAACUGUUUAUUCUUAUGCUUGAGCCCUCUAAUCUCCUGUUUGAGACUUAUCACUUUAGCCGCCAAUGAUUCAACUUGGCGGGUUCGAGCAAAUAAAUGUUGGGCCAUAUUAGACACAGAACCUGUACACUGAACAUUAAGAGCCAGAUAAUCCUUAAUAACCAACUCAUCAGACCGUUUGGAAAGUAGUCUGUUAUCUUUAGGAGUGAGAAGGUUCCUGGACACCACCGCAGUGGUCAUAUCAUUCUUCAUCACAGAGUCCCCAACGGUAAGAGUACCAGUAGAGGAUAAGAAGGAUUGGCGCCAUAUGUUGUCUUGAGAAGGCAUGGCUACCUCUACACCAAAGUUCAAGUCAAAAUGACGGUUGGAUGGGCCAAACAUUUUCAGAAAUGAUGAAGGAGAAAUGAGGUCCAAUAAAUCUCUAAAGUACGAAAAUAAAGGGAAAAUUCUUACAAGCAAUAACUCUCUAAACGUACUUCUUACACACAAUUGGUGCCCUUAUAAAAGAAAAGGCAACAUGGCCGUUUGUUCAAAAAUCGAAGAGGCAACACUCUCCGGAUUUCGAGAAGCAGAUUUUCUUGAGUAAAAUAUGUCGACAAUUCCCACACGCAACAUCAGCACCUCAGGUACUGCAGAUAACUUUACCAAAGAUCUCUGACAAAGUUUAGACACAUAAAUUUUGAAGGUCCAGCUACCCUACCAUUACCCACAAGGGUAAAGAAACAUCACCACUACUUGAUAACUGGAAAGUCCUUGUGUGUGCCAACCUCCGUGCUCCGUGGCAAGACCGACUGGCAAAAAUGCCCAACCUUUACUCACAUCGAGAAAACACUCCCAGUAGGAUUACUUGCUCAAAAAUCGAAGAAGCAUUGCUCCCCGAAUCUCGAGAGCCAAACUCCCACCAAGAUGGCUUCCUAAAAAAUCGGAGAGGCACCACUAACUGACUAUCGAGAGCCAGACUCACAACAGGAUUGUUUUCCCAAAAAUCGAAGAGGCACCGCUCUCCAAAUCUCGAGAGCCUGACUCCCAACAGGAUUGCUUUCUUAAAAAUUGAAGAGGCACCGUUCUCCGAAUCUCGAGAAUCAGAUCCCCGACAAGAUUGCUUGUUCGAAAACCGAAGAGGCACUGCUCUCCAAACUUCGAGAGCCAGAUUUCCUUGGAUAAAGCUUAUCUGCAAUCGUCACAAGCAACAUCGGCUUUCCAGAUACUACAGACCACUUUUUCGAAGUGCUCUGAAAAAGUUAAAACACGUGAAUCUUGCAACUCCCACUACAUUGCUAUGACUGAGAAGGGUAAAGGAAUAGCGUUACUACUAGCUAUUGGGACAAUUUCUAUAUAUGUCGACCUCCAUCCUCCACAACCAGGCAUACCUGUAAAUAAAAAAAAAUGCUCAACUUUUAUUCACAUCCAAGAAGGCACUCCCAAUAGAGUCUCUCGAAAUACUCAGCUUCUUCCCCCUCCCCCCCCCCGGCGAUAAUACUUAUGCAAACAAGUCACACCAAAGUAAGAGUAUCUCAUAUCAUGAGGGUUAAAAGAAAAAGUAUCUCAUAUCGUGCUUUUUCCCUGUAUUUUCCUUUGCCCUUACUCUUACCUGCAGGACAAAGAGAAAAAACAUAAUCAGUCAGAACCUAAAAUCAAACUUCCGAUCUGGAACUGAUUGCCCGAAAUAUUUGCAUGGUUGUUUGCCUAACAUUGCUCUCGAGUACUCAUCCUCAAUUGUUGUCAAGGUCAUAAAGUCCUUCGGCAAAUACCUCAGAACAGUUAAUAUGAUAUUGACGUUUCACACUGAAGCUGCCACGCAUGGAUGAGUUGCUGAGAAGUAGUGCUUUGAAGAACCAUUUAAAUGCAAAGGUUGAAUUCCAUUCCUACAUCGAGGACAAAUGUUGUAAGAGAUUGAAACAUAAUGAUCAAUGAUGAGCUAGAACAUAUCACUACAACACGAUGCCCUUCCUGCAGAACCACACAACCCAGACAGAGGAGUCUAAAUCAAAUCCAAACCCAGCAUCGCUGCCCUAUCCGAAGAACUUGAGAAUCUUCAACAACCUUUUGCUGACACCAUCACCAAAUAGCAAAGCUUCGCCAUACCACACCCACUACUUUAUCAACAGCAAAAGUAUCCCAUAUCAUUAGGGUCGAACGUACUCUAGAUUUGAUGGACUUGUUUUGACCCUUAAAUUCUUAAGUCGGCCUUAUACUUUGGAGGAAACCAGAAAACCCUUCAACCCAAUUCAAGAAUAAGCUUGUGGAAAGUUACUUCUUCAAAAGUAAAAGUAUCUCAUAUCAUAUCUUCUCCAUUUGCUUCUCCUUAUCCAUGUUGCUGUUUACGACACAAUGAGAAGGAGAACAAUCAACCGGAAGCCGAAGUCGAACCUCUGAUCCAGGUUGCUUGCUUGGAAGUCUGAUUGCUUACCUUGUCUGUUACCUCAUUCGGCAAAUCUCCUAACUCGGCGACUUGGAUGACUCUUACUAUAAGGUUUGUAUCGCACUUGACCAAGCCAGAAAUUACAAGUAAGCUUCAAUUGAUACAUUACCUUGUGCAUCUUCAUCGAUUAAAGAUACCACCCUUGGAUGAAGGAAAAGUACUUCCAGAGAAGAUGCCACAUCUACAUAUAAGACAGAUAAGGCAAGUGAAAAUGAUACCACACUUCGGUACUUAGAAGUUUUGUGAUUACUUAAUGGCUUGGAUCUUGCAAGUCCCCAAUCGAGAAGCUUCCCUCACUCGGGAACUUAAAGGAGCACUGUUUGUACCAUACUUGACCAACCCCGAAACUACUAAGCACCGGUCAACAUUAUACCACCAAGGACCCACAAGAGUCUCCCUCCAACCAGGAGACCAAUCAGCGACACAUGUCAACAUCAGAGACCAAUCAUAACGCGACACGUGUCGAUAUCAGAGGUCAAUCACAACACGACACGUGUCAAUGUCAGAAUGAAACUAGAAACUCACUUCUAUAAAUAGAGAUCAUUCUCUCACAAUAUUUUCUAAUGUUAUUUGUACUAAAUCAUUCGCUAGUACUCACUAAAGGAGAGCUUGAACCUAUGUACUUGUGUAAACCCUUCACAAUUAAUGAGAACUCCUCUACUCCGUGGACGUAGCCAAUCUGGGUGAACCAUGUACAUCUUGUGUUUGCUUCCUUGUCUCUAUCCAUUUGCAUACUUAUCGACAUUAGUGACCGGAGCAAUCUAGCGAAGGUCACAAACUUAACACUUUCUGUUGUACCAAAGUCCUCACUGAUUUUGUGCAUCAACAUGACUCAUUUUGAUGGAAUUCUGAUGUUGAUGAAAAAGACCAUAUAUGCAUGUUUUGACUAGUUAAGAGACUAAUGGUCAUGGCAAGUGGCCUUUUACCACAAUGGUGGAAAGGUGUUGAGCCUUUCCAUAGCAGCAUUGGUUCAAAUCUUGUUCGGUGUCCAACAUCCUAAUCUAACAAAUCUAUCAUUUGACAAUAAAAAAGAGACUACUGGUCAUGAAUUUUUAGAACAUCUCUAAAGAAGAUGUCAAAUUUGAAACAUCAAAUUGAUAUUUGAUGGCUUAUGUGGCGAAUUGACAUUUUGUACAAUUUUUUUAUUCACUCGAUAUGUUAAAUGAUAAUUCCAUUCUAAAUUUUUUUUUAUCACUUUGUAGGGUCCAUUUAUUGAGGCAACCAAUCUAAUUCUUAGAAUACACAACAACAUUUAUUAUAUGCAUUAAAUGUAAUAAAAAAAAAUACUAAAUGCAUUUGACAGUAGAAGACUUUGCCUUCAAUUGACUCAACGCCAUGUAGGAAAUUGAAGGCUCAGUUGGAGAGAGUGUGCUGCCAAUUUUUACUAUUAUAUACUUAUACGACAGUUUUGACAUCUCCUUUAGCGAUACUCUUAGUUGAAGAAUCAUUACUCCAUUGAGUUAAAGUUGAUGAACUAUUUCUACAAUUUUCUCGGAUUUCAUUUGUUGUAGAAGAGAUCUAAUGUAAGUUCCAGCUAUGUGAUGGUUAGCCGUCCAUAUACACAUAGCGACACUGUGAAAGUGAUAGUGUAAAGGGAUUACAUUUGAGAGAAACUCUAAUUUGUGGAACAUUGAAUUUGUGAAACAUCAAAAGCUUGAGAGAAACUAUUUUUUUAAUUAUAAUUAAGAUAAAUAAAAUAUAUCAAAUUAAAACUUUAAAUAGUCCUGGAAAACCCUUGAAAGAAAAACAAAACAAGACAUUACAAAAAAAUUGAAAAUUAAUUUUAAGACUUAAAAGGUGUUUUUAACCUAGGAAAUUUUUGAAACAAAUUGAUCCUAUUUUGCAACGACGAGUUGGACUCAUCUCUUUUUUUCCUGUUCAGAAAGGUAUUUUGAACCAUCACUGAAACACUAUUUACACUAAAAUUCACCUUUUUGAUAUGCUCGUUCAGCCUUACAUCAUACACAAGUAAUAUUUAGUCAUUAAAACCUACAUAGUCUAUAUUUUAUCAACCAUCACGCGUGAAUGACUGAGCUUUACAAAAUCAUGCACAAAUAGAGACCAUUUUUUAAGUAUAAUUGGUUUGUGUCCCUCCAUUCUUGGAGGGUGGGGAGGGUUAUGCAUUUGCUGGUUAUUUUAUGUUGGGGGAUAGAAACCCAAUUGGGGUUCACUUUCUUUUGGGAUUUGGACAAAUGCAGACGGGGGCCUCAUGUUAUGUUCUCAAACAGGAAAGGGGUGAUUCAAGUGGUCCCAUUUGGCACUUGCUGUAUAAAAAUAAGAUGCUGGGGAGAGAUGGACUGAUGGAAGGGAAAGCUGAAUCUUUGUGUAAUCAGAUCUCAAACCUACGAGUUUUCAUUAAAGGGAGGGCUCUAUGUCCUUGCAUGUGGACCAGGACAAGGUGAUGUAAUUUGUCUAUAAAUGAUGAAACAGUCGAGUUGUGGGAAAUAUGUAGAUCGAUUGACAUGAAACCUUUUUAUCUUGUCCAAACAGUCAUCAAAUUCUAAUAUGUUGAAAAGCUGUGUGGAGAAUGGAUAUAAUUAGAUGACUAGAUUUCUUCAUAAGUAAUCCAUUUACGUACCUUAGUUAGUGGGGUGUAUAUUGUUUUUCUGCUUCUUCAUAAUCCCAAAUGAUCGUAUAACUAAUAUGGUCAUUGUUUGUACCAUACUUGACCAAUCCCGAAACUACUGAUCACGGGUCAACAUUAUACCGUCAAGGACCCAGAAGAGUUUCCCUCCAACCAGGAGGCCAAUCACAGUGCGACACGUGUCGACAUCAGAAGUCAAUCACAGCGCGACAUGUGUCAACAUCAGAAGCUAAAUGAAACUAGAAACUUUCUUCUAUAAAUAGAGAUCAUUCUCUCACAAUAUUCCUAAUGUCAUUUGUACUAAAUCAUUCACUUGUACUCACUAAAGGAGAGCUUGAACCUAUGUACUUGUGUAAACCCUACACAAUUAAUGAGAAUCUCCUCUACUCCGUGGAUAUAGUCAAUCUGGGUGAACCAUGUACAUAUUGUGUUUGCUUCCCUGUCUCUAUCCAUUUACAUACUUAUCCACACUAGUGACCGGAACAAUCUAGCGAAUGUCACAAACUUAACACUUUGUUAUACCAAAGUCCUCAUUGAUUUUGUGCAUCAACAGUUAUGAUAAGCCAAUGUUCUUUGAUCACAAACUGUUGAGAUGUGAGUGAUUAUGUGUUGACUGGUAGCCAACAAAAUACACUAAGAUAUUAUGAUACAUUUAUCGACAAUAUAGGUACUCUUUAUCAACAAAAUAUGACAUCCUGCACUAUAUGUACAAGACUAACCAUGACUCAUAAAUCCUAAAGCUACAAAGCAAGGCGCACCUCUUCAUGUGGAAACUUGGCAUACCAAUUCAUCCAAAUUACAAUAUGUAGUAUCGUUGAGUCUAUAUGUUGUAAUGUAAGUGAAUUGGUGAUAUAACGUGAUAUUAUUACUGUCAUACUAAAUUUUAUUAACAAAAAUUAAGAAUAUUGUUUUGUCCAAUCAUAACUAUUUUUGUUGACGUUUGCAUGGCACAACCAAAAUCGUAUGUCACGUUGCACUUAUUCUCUAAAGCAAACCUAACUCACUUUAAACUCCUACUGCACUCUCCACGUAUAUUUCAAGUACUUUUUAAGAAGUUAUUUGUAUCAUAUAGAAAACCUUACUCAGAUCGCUACAAUUAGAAGAAAUUAUUAGGUAGUAUAUAUAGGGGUGUGAUAUCCACACAUCUUUUUUUACUUCUCACACACCCUUCUAAUUUUUGGCCGUCGGAUCGGAUAAAAUGAAGAAGAUCAACGAACAUAAAUUAACAAGGGGUGUGUGAGAAGUAAAAAAGGGUGUGUGGAUAGCACUAUCCACACAUCCCUUUUUACCACACAUCCUUUUUUACUUCUCACACACCCUUUGAUAAUUUAUGUCCGUUGAUCUUCUUCAAUUCAUCCGAUCCAACUGUCGAAAAUUAAAAAAGUGUGUAAAAAGUAAAAUGGGAUGUGUGGAUAUCACACCCCUAUAUAUAUUUAUUUGAUGGUCUGAUGGAUGAUGGAUCUCUGUUCGCAAGAGUAAUAAUUCUUCACAAGUUCGCAUCAGAAACAUUGUUAUCAUGUCCUUUAUCUAGUUGUCAUCAUCAUAAGUUAAGGAAAUACCAAAGUAUAUUAGCUUUAGAUACGUUUAACAAAACUAUUCUCUUUUUGGUUUAUAUAUAACCGCCCAACAGUACGUAUUAUUAUCUUCGAAUAUCAUGUGUACGCGUACAUUAGAAAAAUAAAAAGUAAAACAAUUGUUUCUCACAACGGAAAUUCCUAUUGAGUAGUUCGAUAUGUUUGCUCGUAUUAGCAAUAUUAUUUGUUAUCUGGAAAUAGUUGAUGAACCAUUAAGUUCAAUUGAAAAAAAAAAAGUAGGAAGAAUUAAUAGUGGGUUUUACAAAUAUGUUUUCAAUUAAUCAUGAACAGAAACUCAACCAGUAAAAGAAGGAAUGAGUAGAGGAGACUGAUUGUGCCAAAUGAUCCUCCUACUCCAAGCUGCACUGGUUUGUGUGCGUACUCUUAUGAAUUGCAGACUUGCAGAGAGUUGUCCAGCUGCUCUGGCGUAUAUACGUACUUCAAGCUUCACUUACACCAUGUAUGGUAGAGAAUCCCACCACAAAGAAAGAUCACACAACACAAAAAAGGGAUCAUCAAUCAUGAUUGCUUAGAUGAUAGAGUGCCGUGUACAUCAUAAGAUAUAGUUUUCUUUUCGUCCUUUGUGCGGUUACAAACUUACGAGUUUUCGUACUCGAAUUUCAUGUAUUUAUUAAAUUUUCAAGACAAAAGUAGAGCCUUGUACACUGAAUUUGCAAUUAACAAGUCAUUAAGGUGAUCUUUAGACAUGCAGAGGUAAACUUAGCGUCGAAUUUAAGCUAUGUUUUAGCUCUUCAAAAAUUAGAUUUUGUAAAGAAUAGUUCAUGUCGUCUUCAUCUCCAACAUUGGAUGGCUAUAUUUCAAACCCCUUAAUAUAUGUUAUAUUGUAGUGCUAAGUAAAAAUUAUGAUACAACACAUUAUAGAAAUAUAAAUCAAUUUUAAGGAAAUAUGAGGGAGGCUUGUAGGCUAUGACUCACUAAUCAUGAUGCGGGAGCCAAGGCUUUAAAAAAUUAAAAAAAAAUUGAAAACUUCUCGUUGGCAUUGGAAAUUCAAAUAAUAAAGGCAUUGUAAUUUAUUUUAAUGACAUAGGAACUUGUUAAGUCAUUUCUAGAGAGUUUUUUAGGAAGUUGUGGUCUAUUUAUGCUUCUUUAUCUUUAGUUCCUUUAAAUAUUGAUGUAUUAGAAGCCAUUGCUAGACUUGAAUGAAUUAAAAUAUAUUUUGCUUUGUGCAAUUGAAGUGAGUGAUUUCUCCUUCCCCAAUCAAGCAUUUGGCUUGGUCAUCCAUGAUUAACGACGUGAGAUAGCUCCGUUGCCCCUGGUUGAGCGAAUCCCAGGUUAUCUAUUCCCUUCUCCUCGAUACCCUUGGUUCUGUCCUGCAUCAAAUGGCAUUAGAGCAGGUUUUCCGCUGCAGUUGAAAAUCAUGGCUAUGAUUAUCAAUCCGUUUCAAGAUCACAUCGUUGAAGAGAUUAGUUUCAUCGAUUGGAAUUCACCACCAAUUUAUGAUGAAUACGUUGAUGAAGACGAAGUCAAAAAUCAUUUUGUGAAUGAAGUUAAUGACAUCGAGCCUUCCAUGCAUCAAAUGGUAAUCUGUUACUGCUAUUCAUCUUUUGGAUGCUACAAGGAUCUUCAAAGUACUCCAAGCAUGAUGCAAAUGGAGAUGCUUCAGACCUACAAGGAAUGGAUGAUGGCAAGGUGCUACUGAUGUCCCAAAUGAAUUUUGAAAAGAAUUUCAGACAGUCUACAAUUUUUGUGACUUCAACAUGGAUGGAACAAGGCGAUGUCCCUCCUUCCUCAAGCCCAGCAAUGAUGCUUAAAGAGGCCACUCAUGUGAUAAGUUGCGGUUAUGAAGACAAAACUGAAUGGGGUUUAAAGAUAGGUUGGAUUUACAAAUUUAUCAUAGAGAGCAUUCUAAGGGGUUUCAAGAUGCAUUCUAGUGUGGUUGGAGGUCAUUUUCAAUCAAAAAGAAGGAACCAGGGCCUACAACGUUUGAAAGAAUGGGGAAAUGGUAUUUUCAUGAAUAUUUUGUGGCUUGGAACACUUUGAUCGCCGUGAACUUCAUUUUACUAUUGUGGUUGUUGUGGAAGAAUCUGCAAGGUCAUCCCAAAGAUCGAGGAAGACCAAAUGGAACUUGAGGACGAGUUUUCUUCGAGAAUGGGAGAAUGAUGCGGGAGCCAAGGCUUAAAAAAACAAAAAAAUAAACACAAAUUGAAAACUUCUCGUUGGCAUCGGAAAUUCAAAUAAUAAAGGCAUUGUAAUUUAUUUUAAUGACAUAGGAACUUGUUAAGUCAUUUUUAGAGAGUUUUUUAGGAAGUUGUGGUCUAUUUAUACUUCUUUAUCUUUAGUUCCUUUAAAUAUUGAUGUAUUAGAAGCCAUUGCUAGACUUGAAUGAAUUAAAAUAUAUUUUGCUUUGUGCAAUUGAAUUGAGUGAUUUCUCCUGCCCCAAUUAAGCAUUUGGCUUGGUCGUAUGAGUGAAUCCACGAUUAGCGACGUGAGCUAGCUUCGUUGCCCCUAGUUGACGAAUCUCAGGUUAUCUAUUCCCCUCUCCUCGAUACCCAUGGUUCUGUCCUGUAUCAAAUCAAGUGCGAGAUUUCUCCUCUAGAUCAUUGAUUAAGGAGUUCAUAUUUCUCUGAGCUUAUCAUUUAUAAGAAAGAGAUGUUGUAACAAAGUAUCCUAAAAUGAAAUCCUUGGUACCGAAAUGAUUAGUCACUUCUUCAUUCAGUACAGUUUUUUUUUCUUUUCUUUUUUUUUUUUUGCUUCAAAAGGGAUCAUGGCUUCGCCACGGUAAUCUACCUUUUUGAAGGCCAGAAAGACUCACAAAGGCAUUUCAGCCUCUCUGGCCCAUCGUGCUAUUCACAAGUGCAAGGAAUUGAACCCAAGAGAUACCGUGUGAAAUACAUAUCUUAAAUUUAUCCCCAACCACUAGACCACCCUGUGGUGGUAUCAUUCAGUAUAGUUAAUUUGAUAUUUAAUUGAUAUUUCCAACUCAUUUAGUUAUAUACUUUAGUUUAGAUUAAAUUUCCAAACCACGUAGUUCUUUUCCCAAUUGACUUGAUCUGGUCACGGAUUAGUAAUAGAACUUUGAAAUUAUUGAUAAUUAUGUGACAGAGAAAAUCCUUAAAACAGCCCGCCAGAAGAUAAGUGCUAGUUAAUAGAGGUAGGAGCAAACAUUCAUGAAAUGAAAUGUCAGGUUCAUCAGUCUUCUCCCCCACUAUAACUAAUUGAGCUGUAUGUUGAUUAAUUAAGAAGAAUCAAGUAGUUAGGCCCUUCCAUCAUCUUCACCUACUACUAUAAGUUCCAACAAUUAUAAUACUAAUCUAAUUGGGCCAACAGAAAAUUAAUGUAACACCUCAUUCACAACGUACCAUAACUAAUUUAAUGUGAUAUUCUGCAUCCAAUAGGAAGUUUUCAAAUUGAAAUCCAACUUGCUUUAUAUGUAUAGGGUGAAAACGUCAAACAUGUUUGGUGGGUUUUAAGUCAGAUUUGGGUAUUUUAAGUUGGGUUAGAAGGUUUAUUAGUUUUCAGCCAUUAGAUUAAUGCAACGGGCGCGUAGAGUGGUUAGUUUUCUAUUACAUUUUUAACUAGUUAGCGCUUGAACACUCUUGCAUAAUACGUAACAAAUAUAAUGUUUGGUUCAAUAUCGAGGUUGAGGAUGAGAAUUAUAAAUUUUCCAGUUUGAGAUAUAUGGUAUUCGAAUUAAAAGUUUUCUAUCAGAAUUAAAACCAGAUCAAGGAAACAAGAAUAUAGUUGAUAGCCAACUAGGUUAAGUUGGGCAGUUUUGUGUCUUAGAAGAAACGCCGACUCUCGUUCACAUCCAUAUUGAGUUAAGAAAUUAAAGUACAAAAUGCCUAUGAGUCGAACAAAGGAACGUUGAUCUUGGGAAAUUUACAACAGGACGAGAACCUGAAAUCAUCAUUUCAAAUGUGUAGGUUGUUAUAUAUGUGCAUCACAUGACCUCUAUGAUAGCAGUGUUUAUCUAGGAUGCGUGAGAGUGUGCAACGGGCUAGGGCAGCUUGACCAUGCCCAGUUUAAUGUCAACCUAGCACAACACAUCAUGAUUUUUUGAGGACUAGGGCAAGCAUGGGACACGCCAUGGCGUGAGACACGAUUUUCGUUGCACGUCUCUGACGCGGGCACGAGCUCAUUGUGAGCUGGACUCGUGCGAAACCCUACCUACCUCCAAACUACAUGCAACUAAAACGUAGUUUGAAUUAUAUGAUAUCCAAAAUAUCAGAUUUAUAGGUUUACCCUCCCUAUAGCUGGAUGACAUCCCGACUACGGGAGAGGCAAGAAUUCAUUCCAGGGAUUUCAAGUAAUUGACCGUGUCAAGGAAGAGUUGGAGAAUAUUUGCCCCGGUGUAGUGUCAUGUGUGGACAUUCUCGUGGUGGCUGCGAUAGACGCCGUUCUGAUAUUCACUCUUAAAAUAAUUAGUUCUCCGCUUCAACUUUAUUUUACUUUACUUUCCACACACCAUUUCUGGCUUCGUCACUGUUUGGACCUGAUUUUACACAUCGGCCUAAGCAAUCGAGGCCGUUGAGUAAGCAUGGUUCUCAACCGUUGGAUAAGAAAGUUUAGAUAUUAUUGUUAAGAGAUAAUAUUAUGAUUUUUAAUCAUAAUAAUUAUUUUUUUUAUAAGUUAUCCCGGUUUUUUAUGCAAAAUAAAUGGGAUGGAGGCAAGUAGAGUUGUGAUGGGGACGUGAGCUUUGAAUCAUGUUGGUUUGUUUUGCUGGACAUGCAUGCAUGGGAUGUAAAGAUAAUGAAGUGAUAGGGGAUAAAUCCAAACAUGCCAAAACGUGUAAUUUGCAAAAGAAUUGUGCAAUAUGGAGAUUCUAUCCUAAUGCAUGGUUUUUUGGGUUUGGUUUUGUGCACGUGGCAUGCGACAAUGGAGAUGAUGGUUUUGCAUGGUGAUGGCAAUAUGGGUUUAAAGGUUUCUCAUGUUUUUUUAAUAAGAAGCCUAGGUGGGUUAGAUCUCUAGUGAGAUGUGAUAAAGCCUAGGUAGGCUUUAUUUAUCUGAAGGAUAUGUGCGGCGUAUUUGAUACGGGAUCAGGGUCAAUUCCACAAAAUAGAGUUGCAGUUGGACUCUACAAAAUUAUUUGGCCGCGUCACACAACAUUUGCUCCUAUAAAUACAGAGAUAGUGGCAACGGAAGAAAGACCCCUGCAAAUCAAUACAAAAUUGCCCUGCGCAAAUUCUCACAACUUGUGAUUUUUCUUUUUCCUUUUUCGCUGACACAUCUUCCGUUGGCGUCAACAGCACUGUGGAAGCAACCGGUGAUAUCUUAAGUCGGCAUAGAUAGCUCUGUCACCGUAGAAUCAAUCGGUCUCGCAGUAUCUUCCGUUGGCAUCAACAGCACUGCGGCGAGAACGGUUAAUUACCUAUCCAAGUCUCGGUCGAGAAGGGUUUCUGAACCCUUAUUGGUCGAUGUCAUCUCAUCAGCCUUCUCGGCGAAGUGAGGUGUUACACGUUAUUACGUUCGGCAUAUUGAAAGCCGAAUUUGAUAUUGAACUUCGUAAGAAUAGUAACCUUGUCUUCAGGUUCGAGAGCCCAAGAGGCCGAGACGUGUUCCUUUCUCGGCCGCAAUCGCAAGACGCAGAAGUCAGCCGCGCACCCAACGCAACAUCAACAAAUUUACUCCUUGGCCGAGCUCGGCCGACGAGUUGGCACGCCCUGCAUUCACCGAAGGACGUAGUUAGCUCAUUAAUUAUUCGGCCUGCACGCCACGUAGGCUUUGUAGUUUUUAGGGUCAACAUUUUGGCACGCCCAGUGGGACCCAGUGCUAAACUACGAAGUUCACAUGAUCUAUCUCGAUCCGGCUUCAAGGGAUGAGUGUUAUCGCCUAUUAAAGGAGCAAAAACAACUUCUCGAAAGUUUGAGAAGAAUUUCUGAAAGGCAAAAGGCCGAGGGGCAAAUCUCCACUCCGGCCACAACCAAUAUUCGGCCUAAGAAAAGUGAUAAUUUGGCCGAAGAACAAAGGCCACUUGUUGUUUCGGUAGAGACUGAAAAUAUAGUAGGCCUAGAAGAAAAAAUUCAAGUCCCUAAGCUAUAUACAAAAAUUGACUUGGAAAAAGAUUCGUCAAAAGAAUGCUCUAGUGACGAACGAGGCCGAAAUAUUGGCCUAGCCCGAGAAACUACGCCAAUUGAUAUGAUUAUUGGCAAUAAAGCCGAUAUGGAGAAAUCCUGUUCGGCUAAGUUAUUUGAAUUAAAAGCCGAAAUUAUGCUUGGGGGGCUGUUUGGACUCAAAUUUACACCAUCGGCCCAUGUAAUCAAGGCCGUUGAGUGAGCAUAGUUCUCGACCGUCAGAUGGAAAAGUGAAGAUAUUUUUGUUAAAGGAUAAUAUUAUGAUUUUUUAUCAUAAUAAUUAUUUUUUAAUGAUGAAUUAUCUUGAUUUUUUCCUGGUACAAGAUGGAUGAGAUGUAAAUGUAGUUCAAUUUGAUUUGGGAUUCUUGGAGUUAAGACGCGUGGUGGAUUGGGAGCAUCAGAGCACGUUAUUAAGAGUCCUAAUACACUACUGCAUUGUUGGCAAAUGGAAAUUGGCAGAGAUAUUAAUGCUUGCAUAAAGAUGAAGAUGUUAAAUUGGAGAUGGAUAGCCACGUGUGAGUGGAUUUGGUGGAGCCAUGCAUGCAUAUCAUUAUUUCAAGUCAAGAUGCUUAUCGGCACUAAUUGGUAUAUGCUAAUAUGCUAUUAAUUAGCAAGAGGUGGUUGCAUGUUGGUAAGUGAUAACAAUCUUUUUGCAUGAGAUUGUUAUGAAUGAGGACUUUGAUGUUGGCGGCAGCUUUACAACACGAGCCGUCAGGAUGAGGAUGAUACUUAUAAAUACAGAGUCGCAAACAACGGGUAGGACCCCUGCAAAUCAAUACAAAAUUGCCCUGCGCAAAUUCUCACAACUUGUGAUUUUUCUUUUUUCCUUUUUUCGCUGACACAUCUUCCGUUGGCAUCAACAGCACUGUGGAAGCAACCGGUGAUAUCUUAAGUCGGCAUAGAUAGCUCUGUCACCGUAGAAUCAGUCGGUCUCGCAGUAUCUUCCGUUGGCAUCAACAGCACUGCGGCGAGAACGAUUGAUUAUCUAUCCAAGUCUCGAUCGAGAAGGAUUUCUGAAUCCUUGUUGGUCGAGGUCAUCUCAUCAGCCUUCUCGGCGAAGUGAGGUGUUACAAGUGACUACAUUCGGCACGUUGAAAGCCGAAUUUGAUAUUGAGCUUCGUAAAAAUGGUAACCUUGUCUUCAGGUUCGAGAGCCCAAGAGGCCGAGACGUGUUCCUUUCUCGGCCGCAAUCGCAAGACGCAGAAGUCAGUAGCGCGACCCAACGCAACAUCAACAAAUUUACUCCUCGGCCGAGCGCGGCCGACGAGUUGGCACGCCCUGCAUUCACCGAAGGACGUAGUUAGCUCAUUAAUUACUCGGCCUGCGCGCCACGUAGGCUUGGUAGUUUCUAGGGUCAACAUUUUGGCACGCCCAGUGGGACCCAGUGCUAAUACUACGAAGUUCAUAUGUUAUAUCAAGAUUCCAAUCUGGCUCAACGUAGCUGAUUGUACGAGCUCCUGGAGGAAUUGAAAAAACAUAAUGAGGAAUGCAAAAAAUCUUUGGAAGCAGAAAAAGUUCUUCGUGGCCAUAAAGAGAUGCAAAAGUCAUUCGCUUGCAUGGUGAAAAUAAAAGCUCCUGUUACCCUGCAUGGGUAAAUGAAGACAGGGCUCGAUUUAAUGCCUGGCUAGAUGAAGAACGUUUUCCUUACGUUUCUGAUUACAGAUCAAUUCCAUUUGAAAAAUGGUUAGGUCCAAAGGCCGGGGGGCAAUUUUUCGCUCCGGCCACAAUCAAAAUUCGGCCUCAAAAAAUUGUUAAGGCGGCCGAAGAAAUACUUAGGCCACCUGUUGUUUCGGUCGAGAUUCAAAGUGUGGUAGGCCUAGACGAAAAAGUUGAAGUUUCUGAGCUAAAAAUCGACUCAGAAAAUGAUUCGUCAGAAGAGUGCUCCAAUGACGAACAAGACCAAUACACGACUUCAAACCAUAAAAUCACAUCGAUUGAUAUGGUAAUUGAAGACAUAGGUCUAGCCGAAAAAAUCACGCCAAUUGAUCUGAUUAUUGGUGAUAAAGCCGAUAUGGAGAAAUCCCGUUCGGCUAAGUUGCUCGAGUUAAAAGCCGAAAUUGGUGAAAUAAUUAUGCCCAGGGGGCAUAAUACUUGUUCCACACAUUCGGCGGCUGAAAAUGCAAAAUAUUUUGCCGAGUCAAAAAUAUUUGGGAAAAAUUCUUUAUUCGGCCUAGAGCGAAAUCAAUUUGAAAAUUUUGAUGCAAAAAGAUCUUGGCUUGGAAUAAAACAUCGUUGGUCUCCUCCUGAUUAUGGUUCGGCCACUUUUAUUUUCGUUUGCUAAAAUAUUAAAUAAAUUAUUUUCUUAACUAUUCGGCUUUUUAGGCCGAUGCAUAAACAUAAAAAGGGGGUAGUAUUGUUUUGACCGAUUUGUGUUCGGAUUUAAGAUUUAUUCGGCAUAUAACAUAUCAUGCAGAAAUUAAUCAUGGCAUGAACUGUUCUAGCACGAAGUGUUACAAUUUGGCGUCAAAGCAGGAGUUGAAUCAUGGCAUCUGCAAUUAGAGUCUCGGCCAAAAGAGUGGUUGCCGAGCCAUUCAAUGCACCUGGGAUUGGUUUGGCCGAAUAUAUAUAUAUAAGAGUUUAGCCGAACUCUCGACUACCUUACAAAAGCCUCGGCCAAAGCUGCAUAUAUAUGAUUCGGCCAAAACUGUAUAUAUAUAUAUAUAUAUAUAUAGGAAUUGCUUAAGGGGAGGGAUCCCCAUUUUUUCAAAAAAAUGGGGACACACUCCCCACCGUUGGAUUUGAAUUAAAUGAAAUCCUGUGGUUGAGAUUCUAUGGCCUGUGUUUUAAUCUCAACCACACAAUUUCAUUAAAGUCAAUCUAACGGUGGGGAGCGUGUCCCCAUUUUUUUUGAAAAAAUGGGGAUCCCUCCCCUUAAGCUCCCUGUAUAUAUAUAUAUAUAUAUAUAUAUAUAAAGAAAAUGGGGAUUCUCGGCCACAACUAUAUAUAUAUAUAUAUAUAUAUAUAUAUUGGGGGGGUUGUUUUUAAUGAGGGCAUUAGAGACUCGGUGGACGUCAAAUCUUGGUCAAAUGAGUGGGUCUGAGUUUCAAUGGCCAUGUGGGGUCGAGGGUUCAUGAUUUAUCUUGGUCAUGAUAGAUGAGUGAUAUUCAAUUGGAGGAAUUCAGCACAGUAUUUUGCCGAAUAAGUUUUUAUUCGGCGGUGGUUUCUCCAAUAAUUCUCGGCCAUAUGUUUUUCUCGGUCACUCGGAGGUAGUCAGUCAUCGGUAUUAUUAUUGGUAAAUCAGUAUUAUUGGAUGAUCAGACUUGGUGCAUACAGCUGAGCUAUCAGGGAUAAGGCCGAGUAAUCAACCGAGCUACCAAGAAUUAGUCAUUGCUGAGCCUUGCAUAUAGAAUGAUGGCUACGAACAAUUAAUUUCCUUAAAUAUUCGGCUUAUGAGCCGAAGUUCAAGGAAAUUGGGGGGCAAUGUUUGGACUCAAAUUUACACCAUCGGCCCAUGUAAUCAAGGCCGUUGAGUGAGCAUAGUUCUCGACCGUCAGAUGGAAAAGUGAAGAUAUUUUUGUUAAAGGAUAAUAUUAUGAUUUUUUAUCAUAAUAAUUAUUUUUUAAUGAUGAAUUAUCUUGAUUUUUUCCUGGUACAAGAUGGAUGAGAUGUAAAUGUAGUUCAAUUUGAUUUGGGAUUCUUGGAGUUAAGACGCGUGGUGGAUUGGGAGCAUCAGAGCACGUUAUUAAGAGUCCUAAUACACUACUGCAUUGUUGGCAAAUGGAAAUUGGCAGAGAUAUUAAUGCUUGCAUAAAGAUGAAGAUGUUAAAUUGGAGAUGGAUAGCCACGUGUGAGUGGAUUUGGUGGAGCCAUGCAUGCAUAUCAUUAUUUCAAGUCAAGAUGCUUAUCGGCACUAAUUGGUAUAUGCUAAUAUGCUAUUAAUUAGCAAGAGGUGGUUACAUGUUGGUAAGUGAUAACAAUCUUUUUGCAUGAGAUUGUUAUGAAUGAGGACUUUGAUGUUGGCGGCAGCUUUACAACACGAGCCGUCAGGAUGAGGAUGAUACUUAUAAAUACAGAGUCGCAAACAACGGGUAGGACCCCUGCAAAUCAAUACAAAAUUGCCCUGCGCAAAUUCUCACAACUUGUGAUUUUUCUUUUUUCCUUUUUUCGCUGACACAUCUUCCGUUGGCAUCAACAACAGCACUGUGGAAGCAACCGGUGAUAUCUUAAGUCGGCAUAGAUAGCUCUGUCACCGUAGAAUCAGUCGGUCUCGCAGUAUCUUCCGUUGGCAUCAACAGCACUGCGGCGAGAACGAUUGAUUAUCUAUCCAAGUCUCGGUCGAGAAGGAUUUCUGAAUCCUUGUUGGUCGAGGUCAUCUCAUCAGCCUUCUCGGCGAAGUGAGGUGUUACAAGUGACUACAUUCGGCACGUUGAAAGCCGAAUUUGAUAUUGAGCUUCGUAAAAAUAGUAACCUUGUCUUCAGGUUCGAGAGCCCAAGAGGCCGAGAUGUGUUCCUUUCUCGGCCGCAAUCGCAAGACGCAGAAGUCAGUAGCGCGACCCAACGCAACAUCAACAAAUUUACUCCUCGGCCGAGCGCGGCCGACGAGUUGGCACGCCCCGCAUUCACCGAAGGACGUAGUUAGCUCAUUAAUUACUCGGCCUGCGCGCCACGUAGGCUUGGUAGUUUCUAGGGUCAACAGGGGCAUAAUAAUUGUUCAGCGCAUUCGGCAGCUGAUAAAAAAUCUUUCGUCAAGUCAAACAUAUUUGGAGAUAGUAUUUUAUUCGGCCUUGCAAAAAUUCAAAGUGAAAGUUUUGAUACAAAAAGCCUUCGGCUUGGAAUAAAACAUCGUUGGCCUCCUCCAUUUAUAGUAGGGCCACUUUUGUUUUCUUUUGCUACAAAAUAAGAAUAAAUUAUUUUCUUAACCAUUCGGCUUUUUAGGCCGAUGCUUAAGAAAAUAAAGGGGGCAAUAAGAUGGUGCGGACUUAGAAAAACAAGAAAAAACAAGAUGGUGUACUCGGCAGACAAUUUUGGUCAAAUAAUGGUGUAUUUGGCAGACAGUUUUGGUCGAAUGAAUUUGCGAGAGCAUGCAUGACAAUUGUUCGGCAGACAGUUUUGGUCAAAUGAAUUUAUGGGAGCAUGCAUGGUUGCGAAGCUUGCUCAAUUCAGUUUCGAUGUGCGGUUUAAUAUAUAUAUAUAUAUAUAUAUAUAUAUAUAUAUAUAUAUAUAUAUAUGUCAGAAUGACCCAUCACAUGAAACAGAAAGAGAGACGCAUACGGAAAAGACAAAGGAAUAUUCAUGAAGUUAUGGUAGGCUUCCAUAUGGGCUAACAUUUUCGUUUGGUGAUGUAGUGAUCUGUGAAUUCCUAACAGCAUUAUUUGGCCGAAUACAAAUCUUUGGCCGAAUAAAACAUAGUUCGGCCGAAUAGAAUGGGUUAUAUAUAUAUAUAUAGGCUCUACAGCCAGUUCUUCUCGGUCUCGGCCCCAUUUACUCUCGAUCCCAGUAUUUUUGACCGAUACUAGUGUUUUCUCGACCCCGACAGUUGAGAGUUGGAGUAGUUCACGACACUGGCAGAGGGAGGUUAUGACAUUGGCAGAACAUAGGUGAUUUUAAUACCGAGAGACAAAAUUUGUUUCGGCAAUACGACGAAGUGUUGUUGGCUACGAGCAAUUAAUUUCCUUAACCAUUCGGCUUACGAGCCAAAGCUCACGGAAACUGGGGGGCAAUGUUUGGACCUGAUUUUACACAUCGGCCUAAGCAAUCGAGGCCGUUGAGUAAGCAUGGUUCUCAACCGUUGGAUAAGAAAGUUUAGAUAUUAUUGUUAAGAGAUAAUAUUAUGAUUUUUAAUCAUAAUAAUUAUUUUUUUUAUAAGUUAUCCCGGUUUUUUAUGCAAAAUAAAUGGGAUGGAGGCAAGUAGAGUUGUGAUGGGGACGUGAGCUUUGAAUCAGGUUGGUUUGUUUUGCUGGACAUGCAUACAUGGGAUGUAAAGAUAAUGAAGUGAUAGGGGAUAAAUCCAAACAUGCCAAAACGUGUAAUUUGCAAAAGAAUUGUGCAAUAUGGAGAUUCUAUCCUAAUGCAUGGUUUUUUGGGUUUGGUUUUGUGCACGUGGCAUGUGACAAUGGAGAUGAUGGUUUUGCAUGGUGAUGGCAAUAUGGGUUUAAAGGUUUCUCAUGUUUUUUUAAUAAGAAGCCUAGGUGGGUUAGAUCUCUAGUGAGAUGUGAUAAAGCCUAGGUGGGUUAGAUCUCUAGUGAGAUGUGAUAAAGCCUAGGUAGGCUUUAUUUAUCUGAAGGAUAUGUGCGGCGUAUUUGAUACGGUAUCAGGGUUUAUCUGAAGGAUAUGCGCGGCAUAUUUGAUACGGGAUCAAGGUCAAUUCCACAAAAUAGAGUUGCAGUUGGACUCUACAAAAUUAUUUGGCCGCGUCACACAACAUUUGCUCCUAUAAAUACAAAGGUAGUGGCAACGGAAGAAAGACCCCUGCAAAUCAAUACAAAAUUGCCCUGCGCAAAUUCUCACAACUUGUGAUUUUUCUUUUUCCUUUUUCGCUGACACAUCUUCCGUUGGCGUCAACAGCACCGUGGAAGCAACCGGUGAUAUCUUAAGUCGGCAUAGAUAGCUCUGUCACCGUAGAAUCAAUCGGUCUCGCAGUAUCUUCCGUUAGCAUCAACAUCACUGCGGCGAGAACGGUUGAUUACCUAUCCAAGUCUCGGUCGAGAAGGGUUUCUGAACCCUUAUUGGUCGAGGUCAUCUCAUCAGCCUUCUCGGCGAAGUGAGGUGUUACACGUUAUUACGUUCGGCAUAUUGAAAGCCGAAUUUGAUAUUGAACUUCGUAAGAAUAGUAACCUUGUCUUCAGGUUCGAGAGCCCAAGAGGCCGAGACGUGUUCCUUUCUCGGCCGCAAUCGCAAGAUGCAGAAGUCAGCCGCGCACCCAACGCAACAUCAACAAAUUUACUCCUCGGUCGACGAGUUGGCACGCCCCGCAUUCACCGAAGGACGUAGUUAGCUCAUUAAUUAUUCGGCCUGCGCGCCACGUAGGCUUUGUAGUUUUUAGGGUCAACAGUCACAUUUCAGGUGUCGGCUAACACUACUUAUUUUCGGUGUCCACUUGAAUAUAUGGGUCAGGGUGUGUCAUAAUGAACGCAGGCGAGCAUGGAUUCGCAACGGGGGUUCAAAAUCAAGUAGAUCCGAAUUGAAUCUCACAAAAACCCGACUGGAUUAUCAUCGGGAAGACUGUAGGCUCUCGAGGAUGGGUGGUUUCACCAGAAAAUGGUCAAACAAGGCCGGGGACAGGGACGACGCAAAAAUGGCAUCAUUUGGUCCUAGGGUUUCAGAAUAAGAGCAGCUAGGCUCCUUGUGGCUUGCGACGCAGCUUGGCGACUCGGCUUACACGCUUCAGGUCGUGGCUCGCGCGGGAGGUUGCAGCAACCCUAAUUUUCUUCUUUCUUUCUGUUCUCACACAAUCAUUAAUUCACCACAACAACAUAUAAGCAAAAUAAUAUUAUAAUUCGAAAAGCAUAAAAUUGGGUUCAUGCACUAUGUUGAAGAUUUCAUGCAAUUAGAGCUGGAAAAAAAAUCAAAAUUGAAACCGUAUUUUAGAAGUUACUUAGAUUGUAUGAUCAAAAUUUUGAGCUGUUUUGUAGCAGAAAAUAGCCUCUAGAUUCAUAGCGCAACGUCUAGAGUGUGCUGAUAACAUUUUGUUUCAUAUUUUACUAAAAGAAAGGGAAAUGGUGUGGUGAUAGUGGUGGAGAAAAAGACUCGGAAAAAUUGGUGUAUGUUCCCUUGUGCCAAUGCCUUUAUUUAUAGUAAACAGAAAGAAGAAGCAAACUUGCUCACCAAAAACACAUAGUCUAAUAGAAAAAAAAAAUCAUCUAAAUUACAUAGAAAUCCUAAUUCAAAUCUACCAAAAUUUACCGAAUUAUACUACAUCAAUAUUAAAUGUAACAAUAUUGACUAUGAUCCUACAGUUUUAUUUGCCAGUGUAUGUCUUUUAGCUAGCUUUAUAAUAACUUAUCAAUUUGAAUUUUUUGUCCCAACAAGUAAGCUAAUAUAUAUUAAAAAAUUAGUAUGUGUACACACACAAGAGAGCCAUAUAGUCUUUGGUCUUAUUGUCUCAAAAGUCAGAAGAGAAGACCCGAAGAACGAGCACUCCUCCAUAGUCCACAUUUCUCUACGGUCAUAUUCGGCGGACAAAAUUCUAUGCUCCAACGUCUUCGCUCUCCUUUUUUUUUUUUUUUUUUUUUUUUUUUUUUUUUUUUUUUUUUUUUUUUUUUUUUUUUUUUUUUUUUUUUUUUUUUUUUUUUUUUUUUAGCAAAUGAUAUUAUUUAUAUUAAAUGAUUGAGAUAACAUGUCAAAUUUCACACGUAACUAGCUAUAAUAAUGUUAUUUAAAUUCAUCUUUGACGAGAAUUGAAACUAAGACCUUACUUAUAAGUGAAAAUUAAUAUCAUUAACUCGUAGUACUAAAUAACACUUUAAUCUUUAAAAUUUACAAUCAAACUAGAUUUUUUUUCUCCUUUCUAUAUCCCGUGUUCCAAUUUCCACAUCCACACUUACAAAGUCGUACACGAUGACAUAGCACCAUACCCAUAUAUGGCAUUUGAUGUUUCUAGUCCUCGACUAACAUGAAACGUACAGUCGAUUCUUUCCCUUAGUCCCACUAGUCACAUGUGAUUCCUAUUCUUUUAUAAACAACUUUUUUUUAUUUAUUUUUUUUCAGCCAAAGAAGUUAAUUAAAAUUUUCAAACUGAAAAAUUAUUUAAUCAAUUACAAUAGCAUAAUAUUCAAACUGGAAUUUUUUUUUUUUUAGAGAAUGAUUUUCUACUCAAGAGGUGUGGGGAUUGAACCAUGCCACAUAAGGGGUUAGCUCUUAACUAAAUAUCAAACUCAACUCGAAUAUAAUACAUCAUCGCGAUCCAUAUGAGCAAAACCUGAGACGACUCACUUGAAAAUAGAGAUAAUUAUCACUAAAUCAUAGUACUAGCUGGUCACUUUAAUACAGUACUCACACUUGUAGGCUUUGGCUACACUAGCAUCAAUUAACUCUUGAUAUAACGUAAUUUUACUUCUUAAUAUUAUUCCCAAUUGAUUAACAAAACUACUAUAACAAAAACAAAUAAUAUAACUAAAAUAUGGACUUACGAAAAAUAAAAGAAAAUGAUUUUCGUACAAUUUUCCUCACUCUACGCAUCUCUAUUUAUUUUAAUCUAUCGAUUCUCAUUUAUUUCAUUUAAUUCAAAUACUAGAAAUAAAGUGGCAUUAAGACUAAGAAGGUACAAAUCCCAUCAGCUCAUGGGCAUUAGUGGAAUUUCGCCCUUCUUUAACUGCAUUGUCCCUCCAUAUGCAAGUUAAUUUCACGCGGAUACAAACCCAAUACUUAACUAAGCAACAACAGGCCCACAUUUGACCAACAACUAAUUUAGUCGUAUUUACAUACACACCCCUGUCCCACCACCACCAAGUCAAAACGACGACGUCACCUUCGUCCUCAAAAACUCCUCCAACCUCCACUUCCUUCCAAAACACAACAAACUCAAACCUCUCCGUCUGAGAAACUCUGGAGCACCAAACAAUCAACUCGCCACUAAAAAUGGGGAGGGAGCGGGACCAUCUCUACAUCACCGUUCCCAACCUCUUCCGCUGCCCCAUCUCCAUGGACGUCAUGCGCUCCCCCGUCAGCCUCUGCACCGGCGUCACCUACGACCGCGCCAGCAUCCAGCACUGGCUCGAAUCCGGCCACGACACCUGCCCCGCCACCAUGCAGAUCCUCCAGUCCAAAGACGUCAUCCCCAACCUCACCCUCCGCCGUCUCAUCAACCUCUGGGCCCAGUCCCACGGCCCUUCCUCGCCGGCCUCCUCUCCCUCUCUCUCCUCCCAGCACCUCGCCUCCCUCGUUCAAUUUCUCCGCAAUGAGAACGAGACUGAGAAAUUCAGCCAAAAUAUCGUAAACUCAUUGUCGAAGACUGCCGAUUUCGCGAGGGUCGGCGAGGAGAACCGGAGGUUUGUGGCGAAUUUCGACGGCUUCGUCUCCGCCAUUGUGGGGAUUCUGAACAGAGAAGGCGUCGAAAUCGAAGUUCUCGAAUCGGUAAUUAAGGUUUUGGAUUCGAUUUUGCCUCAAAGCGGAGUCAACGAGCAAUUGAGCCGAUUUAUUGCGAAGAGCAACGGCAAUUACCUCGCUUCAAUUCGAUUGGUACUGCAGAAAGGAAGCCUGAGCUCGAAGAUCGAAUCCGUCAAGGUUUUGGAUUCGAUCGCGCUCGACGCCGAGUCGAAACGAUUAAUCGCGGAGAAGGAAGGCUUAUUGUCCGUAUUCAACGAUCUGUUGAGCUUGGAAACGUGUCAGGACCUAUACGGCGCCGUUUUCUCAUGCUUAGCAUCAUUGUCCGUGAAUCGGUCGAUUAAAGCCGAGCUCGUCCGGUUCGGACUAGUCCGAGUUGUAACGUCAACGCUGCUAAAGCCGGACACUAGCACUACCCUUGCGGAGAAGUGUUUGAAGCUGUUAUCCACCAUUGCCACGUGCGCCGAGGGCCGGUCGGCGAUCAGCGGGGAGGAGAAGUGCGCGGAGGCGGUGGCGGAGAGGCUGAUGAAGGUGUCGAGGGGGGCGACGGAGGACGGCGUGGCGGUGCUGUGGAGCGUGUGCUGCAUGUUGGGGGACAAGAGGGCGAGGGAGAGCGUGGCGGGAGGAAAUGUGGUGGCGAAGGUGUUGUUGGUGAUGCAGAGUGGGUAUGGAGAGGGGCAUUUUGUGAGGAGGAUGUGUGGGGAUUUGGUCAAAGUUUUGAGUGUUGGGUUAGGGUUGGGGUUGAGGUAUGACACCAAGACUAUACAUAUCAUGCCUUGUUAGAAAUUGUUCAUGAUGAUAAUCUUGCUCAUUUAUUUUUUUUUUGGAAAUUGUGAAUUUGGAUAAAAAAUUUUAUAGAAACAAAAAGGAAAAUUCUUUUUAGUUUUGUAGUCAUUGAUCAUCAUUAUGUGAUUGAUGUUGUAUGAUUAGUAGAGAUAUUUUUGUGUGCUGUGAACAUGACCCGGUAUAUUAAGAAUAGUAUUACAAUUCGUUGGAAACUUUAAAAAAAAAAUUCCAAGAAAUUGUAUGUGCUGUGUUUCCGGAAAAAUUUCUUGGGUUUGUGGGGAUGUGAAUAUGCAAAAUUAUGUUGAUAAGAUGGCUUAAGUGAUUAAAAGAAUGAAGAAAUAAACAACUUUUUGUUAAUCUCAUGUUAAUCUUCUUUUUUGAUUUGUUGUUUCUUUUAUUGUUAAUUCAGAAAAGUUUCAUGAUGAAUUUGUUUGGACUUUGAAAAAGGAUUAGGGACAAGAAUCCAAUCCAUCGUAAAAGGGGCAAGUUUUGAUAUGAUUUGCAAGUUAUAACUUGUUAAGUAAGAGAACGUAAGGAGAUCUAUUGUAUACUUGGGUAAAUUUAAUUGGUCUUAAGUUCAAAUUUAUUUCUAAGUAAUUUUGGAGUAAUUGUGAUCAAAUAGUUGUAUGCUUUUUUUUAGAGUGGACUUACAAGUCACAGUUGUAUUGCCUCAACUACGUUUUAUACCAAUAAUACAAUACCAUGCAGAGAAAUUUACACAUAAUGUUGUAUAUUUGGCAUGAGACUAUCUUAGUGAAAAUGUAUCCAUGCCAUAGAAGUCGUCCUCUCUUUUGUGGGUGAGGUAGUUCUGGGCAAUGAACCUGUAUGAAAAAAUAUGAGUUGUUGAGCUAUGCACGAGUGUCAAACGUAACAUGGCUUAUUUUCGUAUCCCUGGUAAACAAACUACAAAAUCGUUGCUCUUAGAACAGUAUGUGUUUAAUUUCAAAAACGAGACAAAAAUGAUUGUAAAGAAAAAACACUAAAUAAGGAGACAAAUUCAGGCUAGUUUGCGUUCGAAUUUUACAGGGUAAGGCAACAACUUGGCUGUAGUAGGCAUCUGGUUUGCAAAAAUCCAGCAGAAAACAAUUGUAUGGACAACAAAUUGCGAUGCUCCGAUGCGACUCUCUAACAAUGUAAAGCUGUUUUGAAGUGGUGAAGGAACAAGGGUCAUGGCGCCAGAUAACCGAGUUGUAUCAGCAACCAUUUUUAUGAGCCUGCUGCCUCGGCUUCCAUGCUCGAUUCUGGUAACUUUGUCAUCUACAACUCGGACUCAAAUAUCAUUUGGCAGAGUUUUGAUACUCCAACCGAUACCAUUGUAUCUGGCCAGCGAUUGCUGGCUAGAAAGAAGCUUGUCUCCAGCAUCUCCGACACAAAUCAUGCAAGCGGAAGAUUUAGACCUUCAAUGUAGCGUGAUGGGAACCUAGAGAUGUACCUGGAGUGUCCAAUUAUAUUACAACCUGAUUGAUCGGUAUGCUUACUCAAAUAGUGGGACGUACAGGGCUGGAGACAAUGAGUCACUCAACGUUGAUCACAAUGGACAGUUAUAUCUCCUCAGUUACAAUAUAAGGAACGCUACGAAUCAGAAAGAGCUGUUUGACACACACACGUAUGUACCACAUGAUGAUUGACUUUGAUUGUAUUACUCCAGUUAUACUUCCAUACUAUUUAUAUUUAAUUUUAAAUUUUAAAUGAUUUUUAACCGCACGAUAUACAUGAACGGACAUAAUUAUGGGAUCCUCCAAAUUCCUGAGAAAAGGACGUCGAACAAGAAUCUUUGGUUGCUCCAUUGUCUCAUUUGACGGACUGAAAUAACGGAGCUAACAAACUGUAAGUACAAAGGACGAAAGUGAAAAGAAAAAGGCUAAAGGGAGGUAAGUGAUAAUUCGAUUUAAACUAACGGGACCAUGAGUGCAAUCUGACUCGCUCCUUAACUUGGAAAAGCCAACCAGGGCGUUCCAAGUGUGAUGAUGAACACGUGCCGAAACACCAUUGGAUUCUGGAGGGGAACCAGUGAGGCCUCCCGCAGCAAAGCCACACAAAAUGAUACACAAGCGAUCUGAGUCGUCGGCGAGGAUCCUUUUCCGUGAAAAAUCGAUCGAAGAAGCAAAGGCAGGUCACUGAAUAAAGAAAUAAAAACACAGAAGCUGAAGCUGUUGCGGGAAAAAGCUUGACCAAAUCAGGGUUCCCGAAUUCGAAUCGCCAACGAGGUUAACCAGAUUAGGGUUUUAACAAAAUUUUUAAGUUACUUUUACCAUGUUGUAAUUGCUUAAUUUUUUUUGCUGAAAUUCAGAAAUUUGCAGGAAAACUGAAAUGGGGGACGGCCUAUGGAACCGCCAGCAGCAGCAGCAGCAGCAGCAUCAACUGGGUCCCUCUGGCGGCGUGCAUAAACGACCUCGUUCCGACUACGGUAACUCCUCUGUGGCCAUUUCUCAUAGUUUUUUUCUUUAAUUAGAUGAAAUUGCGAUUGCAUUCGUUUGCAUUAUAGAUUUAGUUGUCAAACCAUUUAAUUUCUGACUUCUUGUUUAUAAUUCGAGCGAUAUUAUAAUCUAAUCGAAACUAUGGGGAGAGGGGGAUUCGAACUUGGGUGCAGAUGGGGAGCACACUGCUCGAGCCAACUUAGCUAGGCCAAAGUCUGCUUCUUCGUGUUAUAAGUGUUUUUACUUUAGUGGUUCUUGAUGGGUUUCGGGUUUCAAUGUAAAUUAUGUUUCAAAGUGGUGAAAUUUAUGUGAAGGGUCAAGGGUAUCUAGACAAAGGAUUCCAGUUCAGUUGUCUGAUGACUCUGCUUGUAUGUAUCUCCCCUUACUCUAGUAGAUAUGCAGAUUCUGGUUUUGUAGCUAGGUGUCUCUUUUCUUUUCUUUUAUAAAAAUUACAAUAAAUGUUUUGCUUCCAUAGUUCCAUGUGUACUCUUACAUCUUCGGGGUCUUCUUGAAGCAUAUAAUAUAGUCUUAGCCUAUCUGUUCCACUUACUACAAUUGCGAUCAACACUCAUACUCGUAUGAUUCCAUAUAAUAAUGUAUCUUCCACGAAAGCUUUACUAAGCAUAUGAUUUCUGUUAUUAUUUUCUUUGUAACCAGAUCACAGUUUUUGGCCUUCAUGUUUCCUUCGGUCCAUUGUUAAUGAUAUUAUUUACUGGAUUUCAUAUUUAGAGCAACUUUUGAAUGAUUUCCACAUUAGCGGUAGUUUUAGAAGUUACUGGUUGUUAUUAAGUUAUGUUCAAGGGGGGAAAACCUUGUUCGGUGUGUUUGCUAAGACCUGUGUGAAAAUGGAAACUACUACAAAAUCAUUCAGGUUUCCAAUUACAUUGCAAGGUACUUAAGAAUGGAUCUUUUCCUGAACCCAACCAAACCCCAAACCUCUGAAAUUAUCAAGUAGAUUCUUUCCUUUUAGUGCGGUCAGUCUUCCAAUCUAAUACUAUUCUUCAAUAAUUAUGGUAAUAAGAUCCUCCAUACAUAUUUAUAAUGCAAUUAUGUUUAUAUACAAAUUGAUGCAUAUUAUUGGUAUACAUUUUGAUAUAACCAAAUUCCCCUUUUUUUUCAUUUAGUUAUUUGUUUGCUGAGUUGUUCUUGUUAUAACUUCUUAGUCACUGAUCAAAAGCCUAGACUUGUAUAUUGUAUGUAGAUGUUUUGAUUGGUAUGUUUUCUUUGUACUUUUGAACAUUGGUGGCAGUUUUACUUGUUCAAAUACCACCUAGUUGUUAGUAGUGAUAUUGUUCAUUCCGCACCUUGGGUCUAACUCUGCACAUUAAAGAGUAGGUUUUUACCUUGUUAAUUGACGGGGCAUACUCUACUUCCACCUCAUGCUUCUCAAUUGGUUUCUUGAUUUAAGUUCUUCCAUCUGCUUUUUUAUUUUUUAUGCCUUUUCUCUUGUUCUAUAGUUGUAAUAUAUACAGCUGAAUUAGGGUCUAUUUGUUAAUGUUUUCUCAAUGUUGUGCCUUUAAAUAUAGGUAAAUUAUGCGCUUGGUGCAUUAAGUUUGUUAAACAUGGGAAACAUAUUCUGUAAAAUGAUCUCAACUUUUGUUCUUCAAGUUAGGAAACAACCAUUCCACUAUUUAUGUUGUUUUCAGGGGGAUUGUGAAACAUGGUGAGUAGUUAGAAACAAAAAAAGGAACCUUUCAACUGGAAUAAAUGUUUCUGUCAUCCUCAGAGGCUCUGUUGUUGGUCCUCACUUUUCACGUAUAUCUGCUCUCAAAAACCUAUACCAAAAAACCAAACACCCUAUCGCCUCUCUCUUCCUUUCUUUCUCCAUCUCUCUUUGCCUCCUCAUCUCUCCCACUUUCUCUCUACACCCUCAAAACCUGCACUCCAGCCCCACUCCGAACGCCUGACCCAUUCAUCGAAACCAAUAUGUGGAACCUCUUCUCAACCUCCCCCGCCCCCGCCCCCGCAAUGUUGUCGUCUCGUCUCUGAUUUGAAAACAUUUGGUUGUGGGUUGUUUUCAAUAUAAUAAGUUGGACGUGAAUAAUUGUUAGUGAUAAAUUUGGAUGGUAGAGUUUGGUAUUAUUUCAAUUUAAACUGGAGUGGUCAAGAAUUUGGUAGAACUUGUAAAAUGGAGAAACUGAAGAUGGUGAAUCAGACUUGGUUUCAGUUUAAACGGGGAUAGUUAUACCGUACUUGUAUGGGAUAUAGAGCGAUGUUGGAUGCAGCUUUAUUUUAUUGUAUCGGUUUUGUUUUGGUGUCGGAAUGGUUAUACUGUACUUGUAUCUGUUUCUUUAUCUCGUUUUGGUGUUGCUUUAUUUUUUUAUUGCUUUUAAAUCUGAAAUGGUUAUACUGCACGUGUAUUGGAUAUAGGUCUGAUGUUGGAUGUUUAUUGAUAUGAAUGUUCCAUUUAAUAGGGCUCUAACUCACAAUGGUUUUGGUUAGCUUUGAUGCGGGCAUGGGAUAAAUCAAUUUCACUAUUGUGCCGUUUAAAAGGGCUCUUAACUCACAAUGUUUUAAUAUAUUUGUUUGGUUCAUUGAUACGUCUUGUCAAAAUGUGUUUACAUUAGUUACGUGUUUGAACUUUGAUUAUAAUAUUUAGUUGAAAAUAGUUUUUCAAAAUAUUGCUGCCUAAUACAAAUUCAGUAAUUUAAUUUUUUUCUCAUACUAGCACUGAACACAUUUUCACUGUUUUUGUUUUUAGAAACAUUUUUUCAAACUAUUCUACCAGAUGCAUUAUCUAAUGUUAAAUUACAAGAAUGUUAUAUCAUUUUCAUUUUCUGAAAGGUUUUUAUGCAGAUGGUUUUGUAAAACAUCACCUGAUAGGCUCUUACUUUUCUGUAUUGUCAACCUGUCUUCAGGUCAAGAGAUGCAUGGUUAUUUUGCGCGAGAGGAUGAUCUUGGUGGUCCUAGGACUGUAAAGGAUAACAGAUCAAUCGGAUCAGCAUAUGACCGUUAUCUUCAGAAUGCGGUGACUUUCUUAAGCAUUUGAAACUAUGCCUAUUAUUAUUUGUGUUACAUCUCUCUGUUUCUGUACUAAAACAUUUGUCCUACUUGCUUCUAAAGGAAAUGGCUUCGUACACUUCUGGAGAAGCGAGUACUUUUGGUGGAGCUGGAAUGGGAAGGGCUGUUGGUGGUGGAAUGACAGGUCCUCCAAUGGCUGAUCAUUCUAUGAGGGGCCGUCCUGGAGCUAUGUCUUCUGAUGUACUAACAAAUGGUCGAAAUAUGAAUCUUGCUAAUCAGCUCCCAGUUGAUUCAAUGCCUAGGCCUGGACGUGAAACAGUUCCUUUACCUCUGGAUGCAUCCAGCACUUUAUAUGUUGAAGGACUUCCUCCUGACAGCACAAGGAGGGAAGUAGCUCGUAUCCUUUAUGAUGCUUAAGAAUUAUUGCAUAUUGCUUUCCAAUCUUAUUGUUUAACUCAAUAGUUUUUCCAUCGCUCCUCCUUUACAUAACUCUUAAGAUAUCUUUCGUCCUUUUGUGGGAUACAAAGCAGUGAGGCUUGUGAGCAAAGAGUCCAAACACGUAUGUGGGGGUGGAUUAUUGUAAACAAUUACUUUUCUUAGUCAUUCUGUUUUUCUUGAUCACUCUGACUUGAGAUUGUCGUUGUGCUACUUGGUUCGACUCUUGGGAAGUUUAUAAUCUUUCUUCACACUAAUAUUCCGGUUUGUCCAUAAUGCAGCGUGGCGGGGAUCCUCUUAUUCUUUGUUUUGUGGAUUUUGAAAAUCCAGCCUGUGCAGCAACUGCUCUGAGUGCCUUGCAAGGUGAUUGCUUUUUAUUGUCAUCAACCUUGGUGACUAUCAGUGUCAAAGAAAGCUUAAUUCUUUCUUUCUGUUUUUAUUUGUUUCCUUUAUAGCUUCACAAGUGUUAUUUUCUAUCAUACCUUAUUCAAUCAUGUAAAGGGUAAAUUUAUGUUAAAAUUCUUCCAUGCAUAGUAGGUGUAAAGAGGUUGAGGCAGUUCAUAAAAAUGUUAUAGAUGGCUUCUUGUGAUUUAAUAUUGGAGUUCAUAAUAUCUCUACACUACAUAUCGUGUAGAACUAGCUGGAUUGCUCAUUAUUUUCCCAUGUUUGUUGUUUUUGAAAAGCUGGAAGAUGCUGACAUUUGUGUUGCUGGAAGAUGCUGACAUUCAUGUAAUUCCAUGCAUAGUGUUUUAGUAUGUGUAAAGACGUUGAGGCAGUUGAAAAAAAAAAUGUUAUAGAUGGUUUCUUGUGAUUUAAGAUUGAAGUCCAUAAUAUCUCUACACUCCCGAUUGUGUAGAACUAGUAUUGCUCAUUAUAUUUUCCCGUGCUCGCGGUUUUUGAAACGCUGGAAGAUGCUUACAUUUGUGUUGCGUUUGCAGGUUAUGAAAUGGAUGAACAUGCUCCUGAUUCUAAUUACUUGCGGCUGCAGUUUUCUCGGUUCCCUGGUCCUAGGUCUGGACCUGGCCGUAACAAGAGGUGAUAGGCAUUAGGUGAUGAGAAAUAUCUGUUUUUGAUGUAAUCAAGAUUGCAUUUGCUUUUAAUACAUUCCAUAUAUAUAUAUAUAUAUAUAUAUAUAUAUGUAUUGCUCAGGCUUGGGCACACACCAACUGUAAGCACUUCUGAUGCACAUUGUUGUUUCGAGGUAGUGAAUCAGAAACAGUUUUAUAGUUGUGCAAUUAAACAGAGAUCUGAUUUUGCACGUCCAUGGUCUACAAAAUUUGUAAGUGUUUUUAGAAGUGGCAAGUUUCUCAGGCACAAACCCUUUAAAAACUAGUGUGUUUUUUUAGCAUGGAUUUGCAGGCUUCUGUUACAUAUAUCAUAUGGUAAGUGAUUUCCGCUCGCUUUUUCUCCUUGUACAACUCCUUUUUUCCUAGUUUAAGGGUUGGAUAAAUCAAAUCAAAGGAGAAUAAGUGGAAAGAAACAUAAGGUGAAUGCAGGAGGAGAAAAUGGGAACGUGCCGAUGACUACCGAUCAAACUCGUCUUUUCUUGUAACUUCCAACUGCAUGGAGAAAAGCAAGACACUGCGUGAUGAGAAUGGGCAUUGCAUGGUGUCAUGUCUUGUGGUGUUAGAAAUUUGAUCCGAGUCCUUCCCAUUUGGACUACAGUUAAGGACAGGCUCUACUAUGUCCUCCCAAUGCUAAGCACUAGGUAGUGGGCUGCCGACUAGUCUAUGUGCCACUGUACAUAUCACAUGGGCUUUCAACCCAUAAUCCUAUCCUGCUAGAGCUUCCCCCUACCCUUCUUGAAAUUAGUAUACCGUCAGGUAUGUUGCUGUCUCUCAUAUCACGUGACUAAUGAUUCGUUUGGAAUUACUUCUUUCAGAAACACUUAUACUACAAGUGUUUUUAUUGUAGACACGUUAAAUCUUUACAAACAAUCCAAGUGUUCAUUGAAAAAUAUUUGAAAGUGCUUCUUGAAAAAGCAUUUGGCAAGUGCUCCUCUAAAGAUAGUUUAUACGAGUCAAAAGAAUUUCUAAUAUUUUAUCUUUAUGCCAAUCGCAACAGAACACAUUUAGCUUUUCCAGAAUCAAUCCUAAACUAGUUCUAAGCAAAGAAAGGGCAAUAUAACAUAAGGACAACGAAGAAUCUCUCUAACAUUAAAGGUUAUGUUUGUUCGGUCACUAGACUCAAACAAAAGAGAAAAGUAGAAGUGGGCAAUAAAUUGGUUUUCGAUUACCAUCAAAUUGGCACAACAUUCGGCAUUGUUUCGCAAAAGACUGCUUUUUUUUCUUAGCAUUAGUUUUACACACACUCUAGUGUGUGGUAAAAACAAGCUAGGGUUUGGUUGGAGAACAAGUCUGAGCAGUUACAUGCCAUGUGGGCUGGAGGGUUUCGUUUGGUGCCAUUACUCUUUUUUCUUGUUCUAUCAUCCUUGUCGAACUGGAAGAGAAAAAGGAGGGGAAAAGGGAGUUUAGGGCAAAAAGGAUACUGAGUUUAUAAACCAGGAAAUGUCUAAGCAAUUUGUUUGUGCCAACGUGACUGUUAUCUAAAUAUAGCGUACUUGUGGUAUAAAAGAAAAAGGCAAAAAGGGUAACUGUAAAUAGUUGUUGUACUUAAGUGUAAAUUGUCCCACAACUUGUCCAGGGACCAGUGCAUAUAAGUUGUAGCUGCAAGUGCAAGGAGCAACCUCUGGAUUAGAUAGACGGAUGGACUUGGUUUGGUAUGAUUCCAAGUCGUCGUUGAUGUUUCUUCUUCUUUGUGGCCCAGCCACCCAGGACUAUAGUCCUUAUUUGGUAGGUAUUUAUUGCAAGGCUAACUAUAGGAUUGGAGAUAGACAAAGGGAGAUGGGACAUGGAGAAUGGUUUGCCAAGUUUGUUUAGAAUGGAUCGGGAUCAAUGCCCGUUGGAUCCCUAGUAAUUGAAUAUUAGUUAAAGAUUCAACGUCUAUGAAUCUCGGUCUAUGUUAUGAACUGUUUUUACAAUUUUCGUUCAUUGUGUAUCACGUAAUAUGCAUAAUGUUAGACAAUCCACUUGUUUUAUUUGAGACAACUGUAUUUGAUGCACUUCCUAAUUUCUGUUUUCUGACUUGCUUCAAUCUACAUUCUCUUGAUAUUUUUUUUUCCAUUUUACUCGGUUUUAUGAUAGUGAGAACAUUCAACAUGGCCUCUUCUUCCUCAAGUUGCUUCUUUGUGAUACGUAUAUCUGUUUUUGUACUAAAACAUGUAUCCUACUUGCUUUUAAAGGAAAUGCCUUCGUACACUUUUGGAGAAGCGAGUACUUUUGGUGGAGCUGGAAUGGGAAAGGCUGUUGGUGGUGAAAUGACAGGUCCUCCAAUGGCAUGAUCAUUCUAUGAGGGCCAGUCCUGGAGCUAUGUCUUCUGAUCUAUUAACAUAUGGUCGAAAUAUGAAUCUUAUUAAUCAGCUCCCAGUUGAUGCAAUGCCUAGGCGUGGACGUGAAACAGUUCCUUUACCUCUGGAUGCAUCCAGCACUUUAUAUGUUGAAGGACUUCCUCCUGACAGCACAAUGAGGGAAGUAGCUCGUAUCCUUUAUGAUCCUUCUAUGAUGCCUAAGAAUUAUUGCAUAUUGCUUUCCAAUCUUAUUGUUUUACUCAAUAAUUUUUCAAUCGCUCAUCCUUUACAUUACUCUUUAAGAUAUCUUUCGUCAUUUUGUGGGAUACAAAGCAGUGAGGCUUGUGAACGAAGAGUCAGGUUUGUCCAUAAUGCAGCGUGGCGGGGAUCCUCUUAUUCUUUGUUUUGUGGAUUUUGAAAAUCCAACCCAUGCAGCAACUGCUCUGAGUGCCUUGCAAGGUCAUUGCCUUUUUCUUUUCAUCAACCUUGGUGACUAUCAGUGUCAAAGAAAGCUUAAUUCUUCGUUCUGUUUUUAUUUGUCUCUUUAAAGGUUUGUAAAUUUUUUUUCUAUCGACCUUAUUCAACCAUGUAAAUGGAAAAUUUAUGUUAAAAUUCUUCCAUGCAUAGUAGGUACAAAGUGGUUGAGAUAGUUCACAAAAAUGUUAUGGAUGGCUUCUUGUGAUUUAAUAUUGGAGUCCAUAAUAUCUCUACACUCCAGAUCGCGUAGAACUAACUAGAUUGCUCAUUAUUUUCCCGAGCUUGUUGUUUUUGAAACGCUGGACGAUGCUGACAUUUGUGUUGCGUUCGCAGGUUAUGAAAUGGAUGAACAGGCUCCUGAUUCUAAUUACUUGCGGCUGCAGUUUUAUCAGUUCCCGGAUCCCAGGUCAAGACCUGGCCGUAACAAGGGGUGAUAGGCAUUAGGUGAUGAGAAACAUCCGUGUUGAUGUAAUCAAGAUUGCAUUUGCUCUUAUACAUUAUAUAUAUUGCUCAGGCUUGGGCACACACUAAUUGUAAGCACUUCUGAUGCACAUUGUUGUUCUAGGUAGUGAAAUCAGAAACAGUUUUAUAGUUGUGUUGAACGAUCUGAUUUUGCACGUCCAUGGUCUACAAUUUACUCAAGGAAUGUUUUAAUUCUGAAUUGAGAUUGUACUGUGCAUAGACUACCGCAAAAUUAGUACAGAGAUAGUUUCCCUAUAGAUUGUUUUCAUAUACUAGAGGACUUCCAUGGCCAGGGUAUCUUGCCACCAUAUUGUCCCCGUACAUUUUCCCUCCAUAUUAGUUAUAUAUUUAUCUGGACAUUCUAACCUAAUGAAGUCCUACAAUCAUCAUAACUCAUUUUACUUAGCUCAUGCUCCUUACAAUAUUUGAUGAACUCACAUAAGAAACUCAUAGAAAUUUGUUCCCAGUCAUUACCUUUGGACUGCAGUUGAAGCUUAUGAUACAUCCUCCCAAUGCUAAGCACUAGCUAGUGGGUUGUCGACUAAUCUAUGCCACCGUACACAUCGCAGGGGCUUUGAACUCUGUCUCAAUUAUUGUAAAGACGUUAGCCUCUUCAAUGAAAGAACCCAUAGUCCUAUGCUGCUAGAGCUCCCCCCACCCUUCUUGGAAUUAAUAUAGUGUUAGGACAUAUCGCUCUAUUUCUCACAUCACGUGACUAAUGAUUUCUUUGAAGUUACUUCUUUAGGAAACACUUAUACUACAAGUGCUUUUAUUAUAUAGAAUCUUUAUAAGCAAUCCAAGUGUUCAUUGAAAACGUAUUUGAAAGUGCUUCUUGAAAAAGCAUUUGGCAAGUGCUUCUUGAAAAAGCAUUUGGCAAGUGCUUCUAUAAAAGAGCUUAUUGGGUCAAAAGAAUUUCUAAGUUUUUUUUUCUGCCAAGCACAACAGAAUACACAUUUUAGCUUUUUCCAGAACCAAUCCCAGACAAGUUCUAAGCAAAGAAAGGGCGAUACAGCCUGAAGACAACGGAGAAUUUCCCUGACGUUAAAGGUUUUGUUUGUUCGGUCACUAAACCCAAAAAAAUAGAAAACUUGAAGUGGGCAAUGAAUUGGUUUUCGAUUUCCAUUAAAUUGGCACAACAUUCGGCAUUGUUAUGCAAAAAUAUACUUUUUUCUUAUCAUUAGUUUUACACACACUCUAGUCUGUGGUAUAAAAUGAGCUAGGGUUUGGUUGGAGAACAAGUCUACGUGGUAUCAUCACUUACAUUACAUGCCAUGUGGGCUGGAGGGUUUCAUUUGGUGCCAUUACUCCUUUUUCUGUUCUAUAAUCAUUUUGGAACUGGAAGAGAAAGUGGAGGGGAAAAGGUAGUUUAGGGCAAAAAUUUUCCAAUCAAUUUUUUGGCAGUGUGACUGUUUUCGAAAUAUAGAGUAGUUGUGGCAAAAAAGAAAAAGGAAAGGGGUAAUUGUACAUACACAUUGUUCCAAAGGGUCAGUUGUCCCACAACUUGUCAAGGGACCAGAGCAUUAAGUUGUAGCUGCAAGUGCAAGGAGAAAGUUGUGGAUUAGAUAGACCAAUGGAUUUGGUUUGGUUUAAUUCCAAGUCAUCGUCGUUUCUUCUUCUAUGUGGCCCAGCCGCCCAGGACUUUAGUCCUUAUUUGGCAGGUACUUAUUACAAGGUUAGAUAAAGGGAGAUGAUACAUGGAGAACGGUUUGCCAAGUUUGUUAGAGUGGAUCCGGAUCCAUGAGUGUUGGAUCUCUAGUAAUUGAAUCUUUAGUUAAAGAUUCAAUGUCUCAACGAUCUAUGCUAUACAUUUGUCUUUACGAAUUUUCAUUCAUUGUGUAUUACAUAAUAUUCUUGACCCUCUUAUAUGUGACUUCGGCCGACUUCUAUCACCCGAUAUCGUUGUGUAAUAACUUGAUGAGAUAGCCAAUGCUUAGGUCAUCUUCAAUGGAGAUGGCUAAAGGUCAAAAAGCUAAAAAAUAGUAUGAUUUGUUCAAAAACUCAUCUCCAACCAAUGUCAGAGCUAUAAUUAUAUGGAGCCCACCAUGCCAUUAUUUGGCUAGUGCCCCUUUCUUAGCCCCUUUUUGGGGCCUAGCUCCUCGAUUAUGCCAUCUGCAAUGAAGAGGGCUAAAUGUCUAAAAGCCAAAAAAUGACAUGAUUUACCCAAAAACUCAUCUCCAACCAAUAGCUAGGUUAUAAUUCUAUGGAUUCAACAGUUAGAUUUGGAAACAUCCAAUGUUAGUUUAAUUAAAUUAAAGUAUAAACUUAAAACUAAUAAAUUAUUAGGGAGCCUAUGUUUUAGCCCUUUCGGUUGGAGAUGGUAUAUGAGUAUGGCCGACACUAUUCAUUUAAAAAUAAUUUUUUUGUUGGGUUAUAAUUUUGGAUGAGGCUAUGUCUAGCCCUUUUGGUUGGAGAUGACCUUACAAUGAUUAAUUCAAAUUCAAUGGUUAAAUUUGAAAAUAUCCAACAAAACAUCCAACAGUAGUUUAAUUAAAUUAAUCAAUAAUUUUAAGUAUAAACUCAGAACUAAUAAAUUAUUGAGGGAGUUAUGUUUAGCCUUUUCGGUUGGAAAUGAUAUAUGAGUAUGGCCUAAUACUGUUUAUUAAAAAAAAAAUCUUUAGUUAUCUCUGCUAAUCAAUAAAACACUCAUUGUCAACCAAAAUCCUAUGAAAUUACCAGUUUAACCUUCUAAUUAAAACAAAACAUGAAUAAGAAAUAUGGGGCGGAAAUUUAAUUUUACACAAACAAAAUUUGUUGUUUUUUUUUUUCAAAACUUCAUCUAUAUAUAAUUCUAACAUAUCUCUAAUUAUAAAAUAAAUAAAAAAUAAAAAUAAAAACUUCCUACUCCCACAUUCUCUAUCACUCCCUUCCUCUCUUCUUUUAUUUUAAAACAAAAAAAAAAAUUUCACAUACUUUAUAUAUGCCCAUAUGCUAGUAAUUAUAAACGAAACUAUAUUUAACUAUUUCGUUGAAAAUGACCGUACGAGUAUGUAAAUUUUGAAAUGUGAGUUGUCGUUCACUACGCAAGCAAAGAUCGAAAGCCUUCAUGUACCGAGGGGUCCCACUCCUUGAAUCAGAAUAAAAGUGCUUUGAAAAAGUCCCUUUAAUUAUGUCCAAGUUUGGAUAAAAUUUGUCCAUGCAUGGCAUGCACUCACUGACUGAUCUCGUCGUCCUGAAGGGUAAGAGAGGUAAAUUCCAGAAUAACCCACGAGGCACUGUAUGAAGCCUGUCAAUUACAUCAACUCAUCAAGCUUUCAAUCUUUUCAUGGCAUGCCUAACUUCUGUGAAAUAUGCUCAACAUUUAACAUUUUGUAAACCAAAAAGAGAGUAAGAGAGAGAUGAUUGAAGUAAUAAAGUAAAAGCGAAAUGCAUGCAUUGAUAAAAGGAAAUUUUAACAAAAAAAAUUUCGGUACUGUUUACUUUAACAAAAAAUUAUAUUUUUACAUUAAAAAGUCAAUUCUAAUACUAUUCAUUUUACCCUUUAUUUGUUCUUUAUUGUUAAAAAUCAAAUUUUUCAAUCCAUUUUUAUUAGUUUUCCUUUGAUAAAAGGAGAAAGAUGCAUGGAGAACUGGUUUUUUAUUUUAUUAUUAUUUUUUUUACAAACAAUAAUAUUAGAGUGGAUUAAGUUAUUAGCUGUUAGCGAGAAGAGGAUCAAUAAUAAUCAAACUAGCACCCGGAUGUAUAAGCAUAAUUGUUUUCUAAAAUUGCAAUAAAACGUCACUUUCCAUAUAUAUAUAUAUAAAAAAAAAAAACUUAUUGUUCCUUGUAUGAUGGAUUGCAAUCUCAAUAUCGUUCUUAAUGGAACGGCCACAAUUAGUUGUUCAGGACAUAAACAAUAUGUAUUGUCUUUAUAUUUAGGAAAUUGGCUCUGUUAGCCUUAUUACAAACCCAACAAUUAAAAAUACUCCCAAAUUAUAAUCUCUAUUAGCCCUCUUUUCCUUAAAUACCACUAACUUGAAAGAUGAACUGUUAUUCUAUGUCUCGACGUUGGAUCUCGAUGGCAUCCAAAAGGGCCUCUCAACUCCCUUCCGACUGUAUCUCGACUGAAUCACGACGGCAUCUCAACGGCACAGAACUGAAUUACCCUUAUAUUUAUGAGUUGAUCAGACACUCCAAUUAAAUAAAAAUAACUAUAAUUAUGUCAAAAUUAUUUAGUCAGUCUCACGUAUAUAUAAUUAAUUCAUCAAACACAUAAACAAAAAAGUUCUUGUAUGUAUGCUAUACUUUGAUUUGUCUCAACAAGAAAUGACUCAGUCAUCUUUUUAUCUAUGUCCAUUGAGUUUAUGGAGGGCAACAUAUUGAGAUCUCAAAAAUCUUAUUCUCAUACAACACACUUUUUUUUUUGAACAAACGAUAUUAUCUACACUAAGGGAAAAUGGGUGGCCUAAACCUCACAAUGGGCUAGCAAUAAUGUGGUUCAAAUUCACAUUUGGCGAGAAUCAAACCUAAGACCUCUCACUGACAAGUGAAGAAGAAUAUCACUAGACCGUAGUCCUAAAAAAAAUAUAGAUCUUAUAGUCUUGCAGUGUUUUAGAUUAGCUAAAACGUUGGUAUCCAUAUUAACUUACCAAAAAAAAUAUGUUGAAUUUGCUACACCUGGAAUUUGUAGCAGAUUUGUCAUUUUAUAAAGGGGUUUUUAACUCAUUUAAAAAAAAAGAAGGGGUUUUUAACUUUAAUUCUUAAAAAAAAUUGAAAUUUAAUAAAAAUCGGAUGUUAGAUUACAUAUUAAUUAUUGUCCUUUAAUGUGUUAUUAACUCAAAUUAAUUAAUGUGUAUUUUAUUCAAUAUCUCACAUUAAAUAUUUGAAUUUAUGAAAAUGAAAAUUAUAAUAAAAUAUAAUUAAUAUAUCAAAAUUAGAAAGAAAAAGAGAAAUAAUUAAAACAUCAAAAUAUAAUUAAUAAAUGAAGUAAUUAACAUAUCAAGAGACUAAAAUUAGAUUUUAAUUUUACUCAUGUUUUUAAUUUAAAGUUAUUUUUAUCAAAAAUUAAAAUGAAGUUUCCUAUUUUGUAAAUUACAACGAUGAAAAAUGACGCGUUGCACGUAAGAAACAACAUCUAUAUUUUCUCUUUUGUUUAAUAUGCCAUCAAACAUAUCCAUCACAUUUUAAAUUUUGUGGAAGUCCCUCUCUCACAUUGAUAAAGUCUGGUUUGUGUUGGACAGCUGUCCAACAGACAACCCAAAAAUCUUCCAAAAACCAACAAACAUUUCUGACCAGUCAUGCAUACGUAUGCAUGGACCCAAUGGCAUAUAAUCAAAAAUUUUAAAUAAUGGGAUCGUAAUGUCAACUUAAAAAAAAGUUUCAUUAAGCUAUUUCAUCGAACAUUUAGUAAGCAAUUGUCAAUUCUUGUCAACAAUGCCAAAAGUUUAUGUUAAAAUAUAUCAACUACGAUAAUUUGUAGAGGCUUGUCGAGAGUGAUGUAGGAUACUACGAAGUAAUAUUGAGAACUCUUAAAGCUUUUCAACUAAAGUAUUUUAUAUAAAAAGAGAGAAAAGAAAAACAAAUAUGAUAGAAGAAAAUAGAAGAAGUAAGAAGAUGAGGUUGUAAGUUAGUUUGCUUUAGCUAUUUAUAAUGGUCAAAUAAAAUAUACAAACAAAUAUACAUGAGAUUUUUAAAGUUGUUGAGAUCAAGGAUAAUCAAUGAUCCCAUUCUAGUUUUGCCAUUGCAUGGGCCGGAUAGGGAUAUGGCUAAAAUAUAAUUCUAUUAAUUGCGUUUUGGGACUUUGUCUAACAACUUGGCUCUCUCUUGACUUGGAUGCCAUGGAUGGCUCAUGCAGUUUACUAAAACUAGUAAUGUACAAUUUUCAGAGACUAUUAAUUAUCAUCUAUCAGGAAAAUUUGAUUUCCAUGCUUGCCCUUUCACGUCGGUGACUUGGAGAUAAUAUUGUUUCUUGUCCGGAGAUGAAAUAAAAUAAAAAGACUUGCACGAUCAUACUGCAUUAUAUAUAUUACACUAUAUAGUCUAUGUUGGGAGUUAUAUAUUAGUUAAAGUAUAAAUAGUAGUCUGUUAUCCUAUAUUGAUGAAGUGCAUAUGUAAUACAAAUUGUAAUUCCUAUAUAUACUCCAUUUUGGAGAUUAAUGAAUAUAUGAGAAAUUCUCAAAUAUUAUCAUAUAUAUUUUUGGUAUUUACCAUGUUUAGUUUAAUAUAGCAUCAAAGCAGUUCGCUCUUGGUGACCUGUGUGCUUUAAUUUUGUGCCCCACAUUUGUCAUGAUUUCCUUCGUCUUGAAAAAAAAAAAGGAAAGUAAAUAGUGUUGCACUACAGUACAAACAGUGCGUAAACAGUGGUAUGCUACAGUGUUCAUGAACAAUAUUUUGCUACAGUGCCAUUAACAGUGAUCUACUACAUCACUUGAACAGUGAUGUGCUACAGUAUUAUGGUAAAUUGUUUUCAUUCCGCUGCCUAUCUUUUGUGCCUUUAUUGUUUGUGAUUUAAUUCAAUGGCUCAGUAUAAUCAUAAUGUUGUUAUGCAUCUUGGUGGAACAAAUAAAUGGAUAAUUGAUACUGGGACCACUAAUCAUGUGACUAGUGACCCUAGAAUGUUUGAUGAGUUAUGUGACUAUAUUCUUGAUCCGUAUAUUACUAGUGCAAAUGGAGCACAUUCCCCCGUGAAUGUUGAAGGCAUUAUCUCUCUUACUUCGACCUUAUCACUGGUCCAUACUUUACUUGUUCCUGAUGUUAAGUGCAAUCUUUUGUCGGUAGAAAAACUACUUGAUACUUUAUAUUGUUUUGCUCACUUCUACCCUACGUAUUGUUAUUUUCAAGACAUUCAAACUCAGAAAGUAAUUGGUCAUGGUAAAAGAAUAGAGGGUUGUACAUCUUGACUAUGGAGGAUACUGUUGUUUCCGGUUCAAAUAAUCAUCAAGUUUUAAGUGCUAAAGUGGAUGACAUACAUCAAAUUUGGUUGUGGCAUUGGCGAUUAGGACGUCUAUCAUUCAGUUAUAUGAAGCAUCUAUUUCCUGCUUUGUUUCGCAUUUGUAGUGAUUCAUAAUUCAAGUGUGAAGCAUGUGUCAUGGCUAAGAGUCAUCGUGCUUCCUUUCCCAUAAGUGAUUCUAAAGCUACUUUGCCAUUUGAUUUAAUACAUUCUGAUGUGUGAGGUCCGGCAAAUGUUACUUCUAAUGAAUUUCGUUGGUUUGUUACUUUUAUUGAUGAUUGUACUCGAUUAACUUAGGUGUUAUUGAUGAAGAAUAAGAGUGAUGUUCAUUUGCUUCUUCAAGAAUUUUGUGCAAUGGUGUAUACUCAGUUUCAGACCAAAGUUAAGGUUUUCAGGUUUGAUAAUAGAGGAGAAUAUGUGAAUCACACUUUGACAUGCUUUUUUCGUGAUCAGGGUAUUAUUCACCAGACGACUACUUUGUUUACACCCCAACAAAAUGGUGUGUCAGAACAGAAGAAUCGUCAAAUAAUGGAGGUUGCUCACUCAUUGAUGUUGGAUAAAUGUGUUCCUAAUCAUUUAUGGGGUCAUGUUGUUUUGGCUGUUGUAUAUUUGAUAAAUCGUGUUCUAAGUAGGGUUCUUGAUUUUCAGACACCACUUGAUGUGUUACAAAAGCAUGUUUAUCUUGUUUCUGUAUCAAAACUUCCUCCGAAGGUGUUUGGGUGUAUUGCGUAUGUGUAUGUCUACUCUUAUCAGCGGAGUAAACUUGAUGCAUGUGUUCUUCGAUGUGUAUUUAGUAGGUAUGCUAACAAUCAGAAAGGCUAUAAGUGUUAUCAUCCUCCGACUCAUAAAACUUAUAUUACCAUGGAUGUCACUUUCCACGAGGAAGUUUCGUAUUUUGUGAAGCCAUCUUCCGACUCUCCACUUCAGGGGAAAAAAGGGAGUGAAGUGCAUAUUUGAAGAGAUGGUAUGGAUGAUGUGUUACAGGCAGAGUUGGGGAUAGAACCUAUUAUGUUGCGUGAUACUGAUCAGUCGGUUAUAGAUAGUGAUCUGUCACCUAUUAUUCCUAAAACUAUUUUUACUGACGACAGAUUAGAUGUGCCCAACGAGUUGCUUGUCAGUAUGUCUGACGAAUUACUUUCUGAUGACCGAUUGCUUGCUUCUGGUAUGUCUAACGAGCUGCCUGAUGAUGGUUAGUUCAGUGAUGGUUCAUCCAGUGAUGAUUCUUUUAACAAUUUGGUACAAGAUAAUGACAUACAUGAGUUAAAUUCUGACGAUUCUUCUAUUUAUUAGUUGCCUCCACGAGCUAAUCGUGGAAAACCUAAGGUACAAUAUGAGCCUGAUAUGCAUGCCAAAUCCAAAUAUCCUAUCAACAAUUAUGUGUUUACUCAUCGUUUGUCCAAACCAUUUUCAUCUUACAUAUGUCAGCUAUCUAGUGUAUCAAUUCCAACAAAAUUGCACGAUGCCUUGUCUGACCCUAAGUGGGUUAAUGCCAUGAGAGUUGAGAUGGAAGCCUUGGAAAAGAAUUCUACUUGGGAUUUGGUUCAUUUACCAAAUGGGAAGAAAGCUGUUGGAUGUAGAUAGGUGUUCACUAUUAAGCACAAAGCAGAUGGUUCUAUUGACCGGUAUAAAGCCAUAUUAGUUGCUAAGGAUUAUACUCAAACCUAUAGGGUGGACUAUCAGGAGAUUUUUGUUCUUGUUGCCAAACUUAAUACUGUGUGUGUUCUUCUGUCCUUAGUAGCAAACCAGGAUUGGCCUCUGUUGCAGUUUGAUGUUAAGAAUGAUUUCCUUCAUGGUGAUCUCAAGGAGGAAAUUUAUAUGGAUCUCCCACUUAGUAUUAGAACAUCUCCUGAAAAAUGUGUUGUAUGCAAGUUGCAAAAAGCUUUGUAUAGUUUGAAACAAUCUCUUAGAGUGUGGUUUUGGAGGUUUACAAGUUCAAUGAAGAAGUUUGGGUAUGUCCAGAGUCAUUCAAAUCAUACUUUGUUUCUAAAUUGUUUCUAAAGCCACAAAAUGGUAAGCUAACUGCAUUGAUUAUUUAUGUUGAUGACAUGUUAGUGACUAGUGAUGAUCAAAAGGAGAUACAACGCCUUAAAAAAGUACCUAGCUAGUGAAUUUGAGAUGAAAGAAUUGGGUGAAUUGAAGUAUUUUCUUGGAAUCGAGGUUGCACAAUCCAAGCAUGGUAUUUUUCUGUCUCAACAGAAGUAUGUUCUUGAUUUGUUAGUUGAAACAAAUCUGUUAGAUUGCAAACUUAUUGAUACUCUGAUUGAGCAAAAUCAUCAUCUGGGCUUAUUUCCGAAUCAAGUUCCUACUCAUAAGGAACGGUAUCAGAGGCUUGUGGGGAAAUUAAUUUAUUUGUCUCACACUUGCCCUGACAUUGCUUAUGCAGUUAGUGUAGUAAGUCAGUUUAUGCACUCACCUAGUGAAGCUCAUAUGGAUGAAAUAGUCCGUAUUUUGAGGUGCUUGAAGAUGGCUCCUGGCAGAGGCUUGGUUUUCUCCAAGAAUGGUCAUUUGAAUGUCGAAGGGUAUACAGAUGCAGAUUGGACAAGUUCUAUCACUGAUUGGCGGGUGGUAAUCUAGUUACUUGGAGAAGUAGAAACAAAAAAUGGUGGCUAGGUCAAGUGCUGAAGCUGAGUUUCGUGGUAUGUCUCAUGGUGUAUGUGAGUUGUUGUGGUUAAAAAAAUUGUUGAGAGAUCUUGGAUUUAAACCCAAUGGUGCUAUGAAACUCCAUUGUGAUAACAAGGCUGCUAUUGAGAUUGCUCAUAAUCCAGUGCAACAUAAUCAAACAAAACAUGUGGAGAUUGAUCAACAUUUCAUCAAGGAAAAUUUGGAUGCUGGAAUUAUUAUGUUUCCGUUUGUGAGAUCUGAAGAUCAACUCGCUGAUGUACUUACUAAGACUGUGUCUAAUAGUGUGUUUUCCAACUCGCUUGACAAGUUGGGCAUGCAUGACAUCUUUGCUCCAACUUGAGGGGGAAUUUUACGAGUUAUAUAUAGUUAAAGUGUAAAUAGUAGUCUGUUGUCCUACAUUGAUGAAGUACAUAUGUAAUACUAAUUGUAACUCCUAUAUAUACUCCACUUUGGAGAUUAAUAAAUAUAUAAGAAAUUCCCAAAUAUUGUCAUAUAAAUUUUUGGUAUUUAUCAUGUUUAGUUUAAUAGUCUAAACAUCAGGAAAUACACCAACCCUAAACCUAAUGGAUUUUAUGAAGCCGCUGGUUUGGGUACACAUUAAUCUAACCUAAUUGCUCUACCACAUUCUAAACACAAAAUUUGUUAUAAAUAGGAUGAUUAAAUUUAUUUUCUCAAGCGGUAGAGUAGUGAACCUCACAGCGACGACAAUCUUCCACCCCCAAAUUCGGGUUUUUUUGUACUAAAAUGGUCUUUUAUGUAUAAGAACUUUACGAUAAGUUUAUUAAAAUUGGCUCUGUAUCUACGAAAUCUCAACAUCCAUACGUUACAAAAUGGAUUAGAACUCCUAGGAAAUAAAAUAGAACAUAUGAUGAUCCCUUUAAAGGGCCUUAUAAUGGGGAAGACUUCUCACAGAAUAUAAGAAGACGAAGAGGAAAACUAAAAACUUAGAACUUCAAGGAGAUGGACUGGAGCAGGGAGAAUGGCAAAGAACCGGAACCCAGAAGACCCGCAACGAAAAAGAAAACACUGUACUUUUUUUAGACAUUUUUUCACAUUUCUUCUCGGCCUUACAGCCAAGUAGCAUUUUCCGACCCCAAAUAAAGAUAGAAGGAAAAAACCAAAUUAAGGUAAAUAAAUUUUCUAUAGCAACUUGGCAAACAAAAACAUACUAGAAGAAAACAAGGAAAAUACAAAGAAAUUAAGGAAGUAUGGGAAACAAAAUAAAUUUAAUACGGGACCAACGACAACGGUGCAAAUGUAUAUUGUUCAGGAAAUAAACUUUUAGCGAAAAUGUGCUGCAAAAUUGACCAAUUUUGCUUCAUAUUCACACUCAAUUUUUUUAAGAAUUAAUAUCUGUAGAGUUUAGACCAAAAAUAAAAUAAAAAACAAAACCAAAAUGCUACUCCACUUUCUUGGUACUUAACUCAGCUCUCCACCUCCUUCCAAUCUUACAAGCUUCUAGAUUUAGAUUUGUCUCAAAUCACAUGCCAACUAACCUGCCCAGCUCAAUUUUAUUUUUUCUUUGGAAAUUCCAGUGCGUCUCUACUUUUGUUUUUCUAAAUCUUACUUACUCCCAUUAUAAUUGGAAUUUUAUAUAUUUAUAUGGAUGCUUUGUCAAGAUAUGAGAGAAAUAGUAGUGAUUCAAAAAGAUGAUUAGGAGCCAAAAAUAUUUAUUAUUUUAGAUUGGUGUUUAUGUUUUUGAACAGUUAAAAACUUUUUUGGUCAUUGUGUUUAUGUUUAAAAUUUAUUUUGGUCACUGUAUUUUAUUUUCUGCUAAUUUAGUUACUGUGUUAUCACAAGUUAGCAAUCUUAGUCCUUCUCAAUCAAACGUUAAAAAAAACGCACAUGACAUGCAAGUGCAGGGGUAACUAUGUAAGUGAAAAUAUAUCUUUGCCCCUGCACGAAACUGUCACGUGCAUUUUUUUGGCGGUUGACUUAUGGUAACGCAGUGACCAAUUUGGCAGAAAAUAAAACACAAUGACCAAAAUAAAUUUUAGAAAUACACACAGCGACCAAAAACGUUUUAAUUUAACCCAUUUUUAACAGUCCAGCCAGCUACCAUGAAAGCUACAACAUGAAAGCUGACUGUCAAAAUUUUGUUUAAAAAUUCAUACACAAUAAUCGUCAUAAGAACGUGCAAUAGGUACUUUGAAUUCUUAAAUAUACUGCAUGGUUACCCUUUCCUUUUGUUUUAUACAGAGAAAUCUUGACAGGCAGUCAAAAGCAAAAUUAUGUUCUUCUAGUGAUAUCUGUGUGCUAAAAAGGAAGUACGUAGCUACGUUCAGUCUUCACCUAACACUCCUAUUUGCACCUAAAAGAUGUGGAUAACAAAGAUUUUGACCAAAAUCACAUUGACAAGUACUUGCCAAAGGAUCACGGAACCUAUGAUUGUAAAAGAUAUACGUGUUGGGCCUGACCGACGUUAAUUAGUUGUUCAUAUUGAUUUGAGAAAUUUGAUUGAAUGAGGAUUAACAAAUCACAAUUGCUAAAAUAUUAAAAUGUAUUAACUGCGACAUAUUGGUUAAAUAAUUAUUGCACAUCGAAAAAAUAUUGACGAGUAAUUAUGAAUUUUUAUUUUCAUUAUUUCAAACAUUUUUAUAUUAGAAAAGCUAAAGAAAAUGAUUUAAAAACUUUGAAUUUUAAUGAUACGUACAAAAUGAAAGGUAAAAUAAAUAGUACCAGAAUUAACUUUUUGUUUAAAUUUUAUUUUCUAUUUGGCAUCAACUUUUGGUUUAAAUAUACUAUAUAACCCUCACAAAAGAAAAAGCAUGGUGUACUAGUAGCUAAAAGACAUAAAAAAGGUUAAUCUUAAUUUAUUAUUCUAAAGUUUCUUAGUUUUCAAUAUUUGGUAUAUAAAGUUUUUUUUAUUCUAGAGUUGUACAUAAAGUUAUAAUUUUGGGAUACUUUCAUACAUCCAUUAAGGUUGCUGUUAAAUUUAUCAUUAACUGAUGAUAUGACAUUUAUGUUGACAAUGACACGUAGAUAUUAAAAAUUAAAAAUUAAAUUAAUAAAAUAAUAAAAAUUAAAAAAAAAAAAAAAUUGGGCGUCUUCACCCUCACCCCUUCUGACCCCCCUCCCUUCUCUCCUCUGCACCCACGCUUCCCCCUCCCUCUUCGACUCCACCCAACGCUGCACUCCGAGGAUUGUUGCCAUCCUUUCAAGCCCAAUUUCGCCCCCAAAUAGGCCCGGGCAGUACUUGGCCAUAAACUUCAAGUCGUAGACCCUCUCGAACAAACGACCUGCCAUCUUUGCGAACUCAGUGGGGGAGCUGAGGAUGGUCUUCCUCGUCACCAGCUUCAUUACAUAGGCCGAGUCGUAGAGGCCGUGGAAGCUCACCCAUACGAGCUGCCCCCUGUGCACCCUUAAAAUCUCAACGAAACCCUCCACAAAAAUAUCCGAAUCAAUGCCGAACUUCCCAAAUUUCUCGAGAUCCAAGCCAUUCGCUUUGAGGAGGGCAAUGGAUUCUGGAACAUGGGGGUCGGUUUCCUCGUCAAAACCCCGAAAGUUGAACUCCCAGGUGCCGCCGACGUUGCCGCGGUCGUCGAACAGGGUGAUACCCACUUGGAUGAGAUUGAGAGAAUCGACAUUAAGGGCGAUAUCUUGGUAACGGAGGCCCUUGGAAGUGCCUCUGGGGGUGUUGCGGAGGAACCCCGGAAAUUCGGUGUCGAACGAGACGAUCGGAAAACGGCAGAGACACCGAUCGACGGAGGGAAGGGGAAAGGUGGGUGCAAAGGAGAGAACGGGAGUGGGGUCGGAAGGGGUGAGGAAGAAGAUGCCCAAAUUUUUUUAUUUAUUUAAUUUUUUUAGUUUUUAUUAUUUUAUUUUUUAAUAUGCACGUGUCAUCAUGUCAUUGUCCACGUGGAUAACACAUCAUUAGUUAACAGUAAAUUUAAAGGCAACCUUAAUGAAUGUAUAAAAUUGUUCCAAAAUUAUAACUUUAUGUACCACUCUGAGAUGAAAAAAACUUUAUUUACCAAAUAUUGAAAACAAAAAAACUUUAAGAUAAUAAACUAAUAUUAAUCCUAAAAAACUACUAAAGGAAAGGGUGAAAGAAAAAAUUAUUAGUUUGUGCUGUUCUCAUGGUAAUAGUGGUUUUUGUAUUGUACGAUCAUGUGUUACAUUUUAUGCAUUAUUAUGUGGAUGAAUGAAUAAGUUAAUUACAUCGCAUGUCAUAGGGUGAAUAUUACAUUAAAAAAUUCUUCAUUCUUGUUAUUCGUCAAAUUAAUGGUUGUGCAUUUGUAUGAGGACCUAGAUCUGUUGAGGAUGCAGAUCUUCACUCGUUGAAGGCCAUCCCUAUCUAUCUACUACUACUCUUUGGAAAAUAAUUGACUACAGAUGAUUGUACAAAAAAAUAAUUAAUAUUAUCUGAACAGCUCACCAUGCAUGUUCAGUAAAGUAAAGCGGAUUUGUUUAUUCAUUGUCUAGUUCAAACUUGGGGAGCAUUUUCUCAUUCUUGCGGUGAUCAGAAUAAUGUGAUUUAAGUCCAGUUAAACAUGCUUAAUUAUGCAUUUAAGCAUCUUUUAUUUAUUUGCUUUCAUUAUUUUUUCCUUCUUAAUGUGUUGUUAUUGUUUGGAACAACAAGUAAGACAAAUCUAGCCAGUUAGCAUUCACCGCAUCACCGCAUAAUGAAAGAUUAUUCAUAUUUGGAAAUGAAUAAUUAAUUAAAAAACUGUAUUAUUAAGGCAAAUGGGCACUUAAUAUUUGUAUCUUAAACCUUCCGAGUCGGAUAUUCGAGUAAAUUAGUUAAAAAGCUAUGCAAAAUGUGAAUGUGACAGACUACGUAGUAAAGUUUGGGUUAAGAGAGAGAGAGAGAGAGAGAGAGAGUAUUUCGCAGCCGGCUGGUCCCUAUGUACGGGAAGAAUCAUAGAAAGUUAGGUAACUACACACAUUUUUCAAAGAUGUCGAUCAUGAAAAAUAUUUGAUAACAAAUUCAGGGAGGACAUACUGCUUAAAUUAUUAACCUAGAAAUAAAGUUCGAUCUCUUGCUUUAACUUUUCUGCUACGUAGCUCUUAUUGCAUUAAACAAAGCCUUAUUAAAGUAAAGAUGGUCACACCCUUAGCCCUUUAGGUGAUACGUUCAGGGAAAUGGUUAAUGUUUUUACAAGCUCUUGUUUAUUUUUAUUUUUUAAUAUUUUCAGAUAUUUUUACAAUCUUUUACUGCGCAGUAAUAGAGUGUAAAAAUCAUAUCUAUGUAUUUAUUUAUUAUUAACUAUGUUUACAAUGAACCUUCUAUUCCAUGAAACAAGAUAUAAAAAUAAAAAUAAAAAGGAGAAGGGCAUAAAUUAACAAAAUUCGGUCAAAGGCCGCAUUGGUCCAAACAUUAAUUGAUAAUCUAUGACAAAUAGUCUGGCCCCAUUAGCAUUAUUUUAACAGUAAUAUUGUUUUUUUACUAAGAUAAUUAAUAAUUGCCAAGUGAAAAUUUGGCAUGAGUACCAUUGUGAAGGGUAAAAACCAAAGCUAUAUAAAGGGUGAGGAGGCUUAGCUUCAGAGGCAGACAACCAAAAACCCAUUCUUAACGAAGGAUGGGAAAAAUGGUGCCUUCACAAGUGACCUCUCUUGUGGUCACUCUCCUAGUGGCAAUAGUCUCUCUCACAUUGCCUUCAGAAACUUCAGCUAACUACCCUUACACCUCUCCACCACCACCGGCCUCUCCUCCCUACCAUUACAAGUCACCACCGCCUCCUUCUCCUUCUCCUCCAGUGCACUACUCACCACCUAAGCAUCCCUACCACCCUAAGUCACCACCACCUCCUGUGUACGCACCACCUAAGCAUCCCUACCACCCUAAGUCACCACCACCUCCUGUGUACCCACCACCUAAGCAUCCCUACCACCCCAAGUCACCACCACCAUCACCAAAGCCUUACCACUACAAAUCCCCACCACCACCUCCUGCUCCAGUGCACUCACCACCCCCACCUAAGGAGCCAUACCACUACAAGUCCCCACCACCACCACCCAAGAAGCCCUACCACUACAAAUCUCCCCCACCACCUCCUCCUCCAGUUCACUCACCACCACCACCCAAGGAGCCUUACCACUACAAAUCUCCACCACCACCACCCAAGAAACCUUACUAUUACAAGUCUCCUCCACCACCACCAAAGAAGCCUUACCACUACAUGUCUCCUCCCCCACCGGUGUACUCACCACCUCCACCAGUGCACUCACACCCACCACCAAAAAAGCCUUACCAUUACAAAUCUCCUCCCCCGCCAGAAUAUUCACCAGCUCCACCAGUGCACUCAACCCCACCACCAAAGAAGCCCUACCAUUACAAAUCCCCACCACCACCACCACCACACAAGAAGCCUUAUUACCCUGUUCACUCACCACCUCCACCUAAGAAGCCUUACCACUACAAAUCCCCACCACCACCUUCUCCUACUCCUCCUAAAUACUCACCACCUAAGCACCCCUACCACUACAAGUCUCCACCACCACCACCAAAGAAGCCUUACCAUUACAAGUCCCCACCACCUCCUUCUCCUACUCCCCCUAAAUACUCACCACCUAAGCACCCCUACCACUACAAGUCACCACCACCACCACCCCAAGAAGCCUUACCACUACAAGUCUCCACCACCACCACCUCCUCCAGUUCCCACACCAUCUCCACCCAAGAAACCUUACCACUACAAGUCUCCCCCACCACCCCCUCCAGUCUACAAGUCUCCUCCACCACCAGUUUACUCACCACCACCACCACCUAAGAAACCUUACAAGCCACCAACUCCUCCAGCAGUUCACCCACCACACGGUUACAUCUAUUCCUCACCCCCACCUCCUCACCACUA
RNAcentral lists this long non-coding RNA (55956 nucleotides) under Malus domestica (apple). RNAcentral describes it as "long non-coding RNA (MDOM_LNC008886)". Lineage: Eukaryota; Viridiplantae; Streptophyta; Magnoliopsida; Rosales; Rosaceae. The record is from RNAcentral.